This 78287-nucleotide long non-coding RNA is filed under the name Cucumis sativus (cucumber). RNAcentral describes it as "long non-coding RNA (CSAT_LNC000415)". The stretch from base 6755 to 6838 matches the Rfam family "tRNA". Lineage: Eukaryota; Viridiplantae; Streptophyta; Magnoliopsida; Cucurbitales; Cucurbitaceae. The record is from RNAcentral.
UGUGUUUUGUGUUCACAUAACAUAAAACUCAAAUAUAGAGCGUAGUUGUCCAUAACUUUGAGCAUAGUUGUCUGAAGGCAGCUUGUCCAACCUUUCGUCCCAAAAAACUUCAUUUUGGACCCCAAAUUGGAUUACACAAUGUUUUUAUUAAAGUUUCAUUGUUUUGAAGUUUGGAACUACCACUUUGAAGUUCCUCUAUGGUUCUAAAUUUUGCAUCUUUCUUUCUUUUAUAUGUAGUAACAAUACAAGAACAUAAAUAAUUAUGUUUGACGGCACCCAUAUGUAGCUACGUCCAAGUUUCAUUGUAACUACGUCGUAGAUACUUGAUUUGAAUUACUAAUUGCUUUUCUAUCAUUAUUUUUCAGGGCCAAAGCAAUGAGUUUUAUGUCAUCUUUAACUUAGAAGACUACAAAAGUAUGUUUUGUUUAGAUCAUGGAGUUCAUUUCUAUGACCUUGAUAACAAAGAUUUUAAACCUCUUCUCUUUCUUUUGUGGAUUAUUUAAUGAGCGUACACAUUUCUUAUUAGCAAUGACUAUGCAUUUUAUUUCACAUGUACGAUGUUACAAAUUAAGUGUUUGGAAACAAGUGAAGAUGUAGCCAUAAAAAGAGUAUUAUGCAGGGUAAGCCAUAUAUAUACAUUCCAUUUAAUAAUGGAAUAUAUAUAUUUUUUAAAAAAGAGGAUCUCCCGAUGCACAACACGAUGCGUCAGGAGAUCAUGGGAAACUCUCGAUGUCAUCCAUACGUCGGGAGUUCUCCUCGAUCUCUUGACGCAUAAUGUUGUGCGUUGGGAGAUUCUCUCUCGACACAUUUUUUCAACCUCGAUUUCAACAGGCUUUUAUGUGUCAGGAGAUCUUUUUCCAACACAUUUUCGUGUAACGCGUUUGUGCGUUGGGAGAUCACCAUUUUCUUGUAUUGCAAGACGCUCAAGGGAAGUCUAGAGCUUGACCGCUACUUGGGGAGGUGUGAGACCUGUGUUGGGACAGAAUAUUGAUCUCAAAAUCAAUCUUUUUAACUUUUUUUUUUUUAAUUAGAAGACUCGUCAUUUUUUAUAUAUAUAUAUAUAAAUGUCAAAAUCAACCCUAUUUAUGUAAAAAGUUUCAAAACUAGCAUAUUUAGGUAAUAAGUUUUCAAAACAGUAUCAUUUUGGUAAUCAUUCAAAUUAUCACUAAUUAGCCAUCAAAUCAUUUUAGCUUACAUGUUUUCUCCUCUAAUCCCAAUAUUUUGACCUAGUGUUUGAUAUUUUUUCAACAUUUCAAUCCACAUUUUCGAAACAUUGAAAAUUUGAGGUUUACAAUGAAAUGAGGAGAAAAAUAAAAUUUGCUCUCAUUCAGUCUACCAACCUUGUUGAUACGUUGAAAUUAUUGUGAUAUUUCAAUAAUGUAUCGCUUGAAAUUUAACGUCAUCAUAUGAAAUAGUGUGGUAGGAAUUAAUGACAAACAAAAAUUUGAUCACCACAGUUUUUACUUUAAAAUAGUUUUGAAAUUCUACAGGAUUUAUACUUUAAAAUAGUUUUGAAAUGAUUAUGAAAGUUGAAGGGUAAUACUGCAAAAAAGUAUGUUUGAAACCAAUUAAAAAGUUUAAUGGUGUUUGAUAAAUUUAAUUGGUAUUUUAUUGAUAUUUCUUAAAAUUGAUACCAUAUAUAGCCUUUUUCUCUUUGACAUUGACAUUUUCCUUAAGAUUGGACUUUUAAAAUUUUUGCUUAAUACUAUAUGAAAAUCCAACAACAAAAUGGAAAAUAAAUAUUGUUUUUAUCAUUUAAAAUAUAGGUCAGGAUGGCCGAGUGGUCUAAGGCGCCAAACUCAAGUUCUGGUCCUCUAACGAGGGCGUGGGUUCAAAUCCCACUUCUGACACUGACUAUAUGAAAAUAAUGUAGGGGUAAAAAAUAGGUAUAUAAACAUUCUCCCUAUGCAACACCAUCUUUUCUAAAAUAUUUACGACACCAAUGAAAAGUUCAUAAAGUCGGUAAGAUAUUUUCAUAAAAUAUCACAUUUAUAUGAUCUAAACGAUUGCUUACCAUAGUGUCUCUACUGUUCAAGACUUAUGAAACAACUUAUGAUAUUUUUAUUAAAAUCAUAAUAAUUAAAGUUAUUAAGAUAAAACUAAUAAUAUAAUCAAUAACGUUUUAUUAAAAUCAUAAUAACAACAAUUCAUGCAACAAUGACAUGCAAACUUAACAGUUUCUUAAUAAGGCCACACAGUACCAACCCAAGCCAAUCUUGUUUGGAAAACUAUUUGAAGUCCUCAAAAUCUCCUAUUUUAAUAAUCCAUAAACUCAUGCCUACACCAAUGGGUAUUUCAAAAACUUUAAAGGAAACACAAUAAACUUAUCCAAAACAUUAAGGAUGGAUAACUUCUGCAAGUUCAUGUUAAAACUAAAUGGGCAUUCAGCAACUGUAACAACGCUCAAUAAAAUUACCUACAACCCUACCAAUAGCUUAUCAAAAUCGUAACUUUGUGGAAUAGUCCACUAACGAUCUCCCAACUUCAAAAUCUAGGAUCCACCACCCCAUGAGUUAUUCAAUAUUAUUACCAAAAUUCAAUGGGUACUCAAGACCUAGUCAAGAAAGCUUAGAUUCUUACCUAAUUUGUGCCAAAAACGGCUUAAAAUCACUCUUCGUCAGCUCAUCAACAAUUAAUUUCUUCCAAAAACUUGUAUUUAACAUGAAAUGCAAUUAAUGGCUGAGAAUCGUUAAAUUCAAGCCUAGACUUAACAUGUAUUCAAAAAAUCACUUCAAGAACAACCAUAAAUAACAUUCAUCCAGCACAAUUAAUCCUUACUUGAAUCCAUGAUCCGACGAACAGUAGUGUUGACAGCCACGAAUGAGACAAAGGCGUGCAGGCCGAAAGCUGAAAGGUUUGAUAUUCUCAAAAACCUCUAUAGCUAUUUGUAUGUCGUCCAAAUUAAAAAUGAGCUUUGCUUUGAUUUGAUCAUAUAUUACAUAUAUAACCCUUAUUUCAUAUAUUUCAUCUUCUUCGCAUAAACCUCCAUAGAUAUGAUGUGGAAUCAUGAACCAAUAGUUGUUUACAUUUUAGAUUUGAUGUGGAAAACAAGGCCUUUGUUUCAGAUCUAGUUUGAAAUAAGAUUUUCAUUCUAUACAUUUGAAAUUGAAAUUGCAUUUCAGGCUUAAAACAAAAGUAAAAAAAAAAGGAAUAAAGUAGUUAGUAGGGUUGUCCAAAAGGAAGACCACAACGCUGAAAUUUGGCCGAAGAAGAAGAUGAUUGAGAAAUAAUUAUUUUGGCCAUUGGGAAAGAAGACAAAAGGGAGAGAAGAAGAAUAUAUAUGCUAUACCAUACGAAAAUAAGAUAAUAUACAUUUGGUUUAAAUCCUACUUGUGUCUCUAAAUUUUGUAUAUUGUUCUACUUUGACCAUUAAACUUUUAAUAACAACAAUUUUAGACUCUGAACAAGGGAAGGAGAAGUAUCUUCUUCGGUGGAUCCCUCUUGUUCCUGUUUAGUCCCCUUCGUUUCGGAAGUGGUUUCUAUUUCUACAUCUGUUUCUUCCUCGCUUUCCUCCGUUUCCGCCGUUUCUGAGGUUUUUGAGGUUUCUUUCAGUGGAAUGGGUGACGGUAUUCUGCCUAAAUAGUAGACCCAGGUAAUAAAUAAGAUAAUACUAAAGAUUGGAGCUAUAGAAUUUCUCAAUUCUGACACAAGGUACUUAUUAGAUCUAAUGUACUUCUUAGAUAUAAUAGAAUUAUUUUGCUGUAUCCAGACUAAUAUCAAUCCAACCGAUUUCAUGAAUAAAAUGUGACAAUUUUAGACUCUGAACUUUUAAAAUAUGUUGGGAUUUAUGUUAUAAAACUCGUAGAUUGUAAAUAUAAUUCAUUGACCAUUAUUAAUAAAAUAUUAUUAUUAUAAUAAAUGUAAUUGAUUAUAUUAUUAGUUUUAUUAAUUUUAAUAAUCCAAAUCCAAUAAACUAAAAUCUUAAGCUGUUUGUUGAAUUUUGAACAAUAUGUAGAGACAUAUAAUGAUCAUUGUUCGAGAUCAAUUUUUGAUACCUUAUUCUGGUAACACUAUAGAUACGACCUACUUUAUAUUUGAUACAAACGUAAUGAUCUAACGCGUUCGUGUAGUUGACAUGCAAGUGAAGGUAUUUUGUGCAAUUAGUUUGCAUAAGACUAGACCAGAAAAUAGUAACCACUAGAUCUAACUCUAUUAACUAGUUAGGUUUCUAUUUCAUUAGGAUGACCUAUGGUAACUUAGUCUUAAUCUUGAGUAUAUUAUGAACUCUUGUUUGCGAGGAAUUUUUCUUUGAUUUGUACGAGUGAGAGUGGUCAGAUCGUUGACUCAAUAUGCUUAUCAGUUUAGGGACAAGACCGAAUGGAGAGCUAGGAACAUAAAUAUGAGUGUUCCCUUAUUUCCUACUUUAGGGUAAAUAGAUGAGUGUUCCUUUAAAUGAUGUUUUCGAGACUUGAACAAAAGGUCCUACUCUCUCAAUGGCACAAGAGGGCUUUCUAUUUAUUGGUUGGACCAUAAACAUGUUGUUCAUUAGAAGAGCACUAAUAUUUAUUAGACGUAACCCAGUGGUAAAAUGAGAAUUUGAUCCAAGUGGUAUUACAAACACUUGUGAAAGUUUACUGUUAUUGAUCUAUAUCCGUGGACACAAAAAUAUAUCUACAGUGAGAAGAGUUCAAAUGUGAGUCUUUAGUAGAGUGUACACACAAUUAACGAAUAUUGAUUAAUUAUGAAUUUAGCCAAUUAAUUUCAUAUCGUUGUAGCUUCUAAUUUGUAGGUCCAUUAGGUCCCUUUCCUAGCUCGUAAAGGUUAAUGAGAUUUAUUUAUAAUUGUUGCAAUUUGAAAUGUUCAAAUUUACUUUGAGAAUCACCAUACAUUAUAAUAUAAAAUAUAUUUUAAUUAAACUUUGUUAUAUAAAUUUAAUUUUGGAUAUGAUUCAAAAUUAAUUUAUGAGAGAUAAAAUAUUUGAAUGAAUUAAAUUAUUAAUUUAGUGUGAAUUGGAUUCAUAUUAAAAUUAUUGGUUAUAAGAGAAAUUUAUAUUUGAAUAUGAUUCAAACUUAAUUUAAGUUAAAUAUAAAAUAUUUAAUUUAGCUAUUAAUUAGUUGGAGAAUGAAUGAAUAGUUUUAUUUUAUUUUAUUUUAUUAAAUUAAUUUAAAACUAUAAGACAUUGGAGAAAUAUUCAUUAAAUAUGAUUUAAAUGAAAUAUAAUUAAUUAAUUAACUGUUAAUUAAUCGGUAGAUUUGAAAUUUUUAUUAAUUUAAUAUUUUUUAAAUGAAUAGAAUUUCAUGAUUCUCUCUUACUCCCUUUCCUACCCGAUCAAGGAGUACUCCAUAAAGGAACGAAAAAGUUAUAAAUAAGUAGAAGAAAACAAUUUUCUUCAAUGAAUUAAUCAAGAAUAAAGCCAAUGCUUUCUGCAAAAUAUUUUCUUUCUAAACUUUUUUUCAUCCCAAUUGAUUCCCACAAACCAAUCAAAUCUCAGACGAUAGUAAGGUUUUCGAUGAGUGGUGUCCCAAUUUGAAGGUUUUGUAGAUUCAGAGGCGUCAAACUAAGUUUUUCUCUCUAAUCUAUAGUUAGAAAGCAUGCUUAUGCUUUAAGUUAUAAUAAGAAAAUUCGUUUGUAUAUUAUUUUGCCAAUGUAUUGGUAUUUUAGGAUUUCUAAAUUAUUUAAGUUAUAAUAAGAAAAUUAGUUUCUAUAUUAUUUUACCAAUGUAUUGAUAUUUUGGAAUACUCAAAUUAAAUUAAGGAAUGAUUUUGUAAAAUCUUCUGUUGCUAAGGGCUUUUAUCCCUUUAAAAAAAAGCUUACUUUGGUACUUGUCUGAACAAUCAAUUUAAAGUCUAAUAUUGAAACUAUCUCCUCAUUCUAUUAAAGAGUUAACGAAUUUUGACGAAAGGUACCAAAAGUAAACUAUUUCUAAAAGUUUAAAGACUAAGACAGACGUUUUAAAAAAUUUAGAAACUAAUAUAGAAUAAGAUACAAAGUUCAUGGAUCAAAAAAGUAUUUAAACAUAUAUAUUUUAUUUACCAAAUGAUAUUUUUACAUGUUGACAUUUCCCAUCAUCAACUAAUUGUCACUUCAAUUAUUUGUUUUGUCAAUUAAUUUCCCAAGAGUCAAGUAUUAAUUUUAAAACUAGGUAUCAAAUAAAAACUUAUUCGAAACUCAAAUACAAAAGUUUAAUUGGCCAAAAAGAAAAGUAAAAAAUUAAAAAUAUAUGUUGUAGACUAAACCUAUCAAAGUCCAAUCAAUAUAAAAACAUGUUCAUUUCAAGAGUUGAGGAUAAAAUAAUAGUCACCAACUUUCAAGAAUUUGUGUUCCCACUAAAGUAGCCUUCAAAUCAAUAUUAGCCAUCAAAUCAUAUUACUCUACCUCAUCUCUUCUAUGGGGUUUGUUAUUUUUUCAACAUUUCAAUGCACGUUUCUUAAAAAAAUUUGAGGUUUUCCAUAAAACGAGGUGAAAAAUAAAAUUCGCUCUCAUUCACGUUGAAAUCUUGAGUGAUCACCACAUGACAAACAAAAUUUUGAACACCACAUUGUUUUAGGACGUCGUCAUACAUUUUUAAGUUUAAAUUUUUGUUCGAAAUUUUAAAGGAAUUAUAGUUCGAAGUAGUUUUAAAAUUAUUUAUGAAAGUUAAAGGUAUGUUUGAAACAAAUUAAAAAGUUUAAUGGUGUUUGAUAAAUUUAGCUGGUAUUUUAUUAAUAUUUCUUAAAAUCCUUAACAUUGGACUUUUAAGAUUUUUGCUUAAUACUAUAUGAAAAUCCAACAACAAAAUGCAAAAGAAAUAUUGUUUUUAUCAUUUAGAAUAGAAGUCAGGAUGGCCGAGUGGUCUAAGGCGCCAGACUCAAGUUCUGGUCCUCUAACGAGGGCGUGGGUUCAAAUCCCACUUCUGACAUAGAAAAAUUAUUUAUGUUAGUUUUCAAGUUUUGUUUAAACUUGUUAUAACUACGUUUUCAUUUAUGCUGAAACAAUGUGUUUACUCAUGACCAUGAUUUUAAGAAUGUGUAUGGUUUGAAUUUUUAUAAAAAUGUUACUCUAAAAGUAUGUGUUAAUGACUAAGGAUUGAAAACUACUUUAUGAAAUGUGUUUCUGACCAUGUUUGACUUUUAAACAUGAAAUAUGUGAUUUUUAUGGAAGAAAGUUGGUGAGUUUCCUAAAGGCUAUGUGAACGUCUUUCCGUAGUAUCACGUAUGGUUGUCAGGGGAUUCUAAAGAUGAAAGAGGUCGUGACCCUGAUCGAAGAACUUGAGCCUAGGUGAGGAUAUGGAUGGAGGAUUGUGAUAUGACAUUCGACCUAGCUUAACCCACGGUGGGUGACUCUGUGUGCACAUAGAAGCGGAUCUUGAGGUUGUUAUUGUAGUAAGUGCUAAGCAUGUGUGAGCUCAGUUUGGCCGCAUGUUUCCUUGUGAAUAUGAAUCACAUGUGAGCUAUUCUCAACCGUGUAUUUAGUAUUCUAUCAUGGUUGAAUUGAAUGGAGGUUGCUACUAUGAUAGGUGCUAAGUAUGCAUGAGCUCAGUCUGCUACGUGUUUCCUUAUGGAUAUAGAUCACGUGUGAGCUAUUCUCCGCCGUGUAUUUAGUAUCCUAUCAUGGUUGGAUUGGAUGGAGGUUGCUACUCUAUGGUAGGUGCUAAGUAUGCAUGAGCUAAGUUUGGUUGUGUUUUUCCUUUGUGGAUAUGGAUCAUGUGUGAACUAUUCUCGACCAUGUAUUUAGUAUUCUAUCAUAGUUGGAUUGGAUGGAGGCUACUAUUGUAGUAGGUACUAGACAUGUGUGAGCUCAGUUUCGUCGAAUCAUGUGCAAGCUAUUAUUGAUCGUAUAUUUAGGCGCUUUUCUAUAAUUGACCCUUAUCUGGUACAGGUUUGUUGGCAAUACUUGGGAUUUAUAUUAGUAAUAUGUAAAGAUAACGUUUUAAAUUAUUAUUUCAUCAUCGUUGCAUUUCUUAAACAUUAUUGAGAGCAUGUUUUACGAGUUUUUACUUUUAAAAAACUAGCCACUUACUGAGUUUUAGCUCUAGAUUUAAAUGUUUUCUUUCCCCUUAGGUAGCGGUCAAGGACAAAGCACUGGUUGAGUUCCCUGUCAUUAAUUGUAGACUUUCACUUUUUGUAUAUAUGUACAUACUUAAGUUUUGUAUUGCCAAUACGAAGUGGUUAGAAGUAGCGAGUGUCAUGCUAUGGACAUGUAUAAUUAUUUUGUAGCUAAGAUCUAGUUUGGAUAUAAACUUUGUUUGGAGCUCUGAAAUAGUUUCGAUGAGUGUGUGGUGAGACACACUCGAGGGAAUUUUGUGUCUGAAAAUCUCAAUAUGUAUAGAAGUGUAAUUUUCACAUCUUUUCAAGUUUGACUAACCAUAUAUUAAAAAAAAAUGUUGUCGAAAUUUCUGAGAAUUUUAUAAUACUUGUUCUAUAGAAGUUUAAUUAGGUUGAAAAAGGUUGUUUUUUUAAUGAAUAGAUUCACACUACGAUCUAGGUUAGAAGGGAAAAUCUUCUUUAUUUAUAACUAAUCCAUUUAAGUUUAAAUACUAUUUAAUCCAUUUUUUCUCAUUUAUAAUUUCAAUACUUAUGAACUUUGUUAAUUUUUUCUCUUUUUAUUUUAAACACACGACUUGUUUUUAAGUUAUGAAUUUGGUACAAUUACAUUAUAAAUUUUCUUUUCUUCCUUUACUCUUGAGUUAGAUAAUUUAUUGUGAUUACAUAAUUAAAAUUUUAAUUUUAUUACCUUCAAUCAACUCUACGUUAGAAUUUAUAUCAAUAUGUGAAAUUAAAAUUUUGAUAUCAAUCUCAAUAUCAACCUCAUCUUAUUUUGUUAAUUAGAUUAAAUAUCAAAGGAAUGUCAAUUAAUAAAAAAAAAGGUAAAAUUUUAACAAACUAUUAUAAAUUGAUUACAACAAUUAGCAAACAAUAAGGACUAUUUGAUUAAAUUAAAAAUUAAUGGGUGUUGUAAUUUCAACAAACCUAUUAUAGGUCGUUUUGUAUAUAUUUUUUCACUUUCAUAAUUUUAUUUUAGUUAUUAAAUUAAGUUUGGUUAAAUUAACCUAACAAAUCUUUUGUUAUAGAGAAAGUAGGAUGAUGGGUUUUGGGCAAUAAUUGUCGCAGAAUGAUUAAAAAAAAUAUUUUAAAAGUAUAUAAAUCAUGGUUAAAAAUAAUAAAAAUUAAAGUUAAUAUUUGAGAAGUAGACUAAAAUAAAUUGAAGCGAAACCUAAAACUAGAUUAACUGUAAUUUUGCACUAGAAAACAAAAUUAGAAUUGGUAAGAGCCUUGAUUAUUAUUUUUUGUUUAUAGUACUUCGUAUUUUCAAUUGUUAUUUGCACUUAUUUAUAUGUUGAUGGGUUCCGUGUCAGAUUCAUACAAGAAAAUUUAUUCGCAUGUAACAAUUACUUAAAAAUGGUUGAAAAUGAAUGUCAUAUUUAAAGAAAUUAAGGCAAAAUCUUUUACGAAAACUAGAAGAAUUUGGUAAAUUAAAUAUACAUAAUUUAUGUAUUGGAUUUAGAAUAUAUUUUUUUAAUAAAAAAAAGUUAUUCUCAUGUAACGAUUACUUAAAGAAUUUAAAGAAAUUAAGGCAAAUUAUUUUACAAAAUCUAGGAUGAUUUGAUAAAUUAAAUAUACGAAAUUUGUGUAUUGAAUUUCUAAAAAGAAAUUCAAAACACUAUCUACCUAACCCUUUUCCCAAAUACAUAUUAUCAUAACCCUAAACCCCCAUAACCCAAACUCUUCCUCCAAACGCUUCCUAAAAAAUUUUUAUUCGAAAAGUCACAUACUCACAACCACCAGACAAAGAGUAAUGUUAGAACUUAUGAAAUAUGUAAAGAUAAAAGGGACCUGUAAUAAACCUCUUUUAAUAUAAUAUAGUCGAGAUAGAGAUAAAAUAAAAGAUAAUUGAGUUUGGCUCUAGGGGUUACGUUGUAUGUCACUCAUUUCUCCUAUCAUGGUAUUAGUACUUGAAAACUAAAAAAUAUAGUUAACUUUUGUUUUUGUUUUAAAAUUUUGGGUAAGAUUUGAAAUAUUUUACUUAAAUGAGAACCAUAGUAAAUAAAUUGUAAAAGAAGAAAACCCAUAAAUUUCAAAAGUAGAAAACAAAAAGUAAGACCUACAUUUGAAAUAUGCACAAAGAGAGUUGAAGUUCUUACAUUUUUUUUAAAUUUAAAUUUAGAAUUCAAUAAGAAUUAAGAGUUAAGGAGUCUUCUAACUCUAGAAAGAACUCUCUCUAAAUCUUAUGGAGUCAAAAGUUUUCCACCAUCGGUUGAAUGCCUACACUUAAUUUGAGGAAGCGUGAUGUUCUUGAAGUUGGAGUCUUGAAAGAAAGCACACUUUAGGAGUCAGAGAAGUUAGGAAGUCUUCUAGCUCUUGGGAGAAUUUUCCUUAGACAUUCUGGAGAAAAAAGUUUUCCACAUUACAAAUGAGAACUUCUCUAUUUAAAGAGUUCUCUGGUGAACUUUAUGCGUUUGACUCUUUUAGUCUAUAGACCAGACUUAUGGACUCAACUCCAUGAAUUUGGAUUAUAUUUAGCUUUUGGACUAAAUUAAGUUUAUUUAUUUUUUUGGCUCAAAUGAACUUAACCGAGUAAAUAAUAUUUAAUUUCACCAAAAUAAUUAACUUGAUCAAACGAUUAUGAUGAAAACAUGUGAAAUUAUCAGAAUUGACCAAUUUACGUCUUCAAUUUUAAUUUGGGACAUAUGUCAAAAUUUUUAAUUAGUCCCAAAUUCAAUUACUUGUAUUUUUCAUUGUUAAUUUAGUAAAUGAUGUGACAAUUUGUGAUUGAUUUUAAAAAAAAUUAUUCAACCACCUUCACAAUAUAAAUAAAAAUCUAUAAAUAUUUUAACUUAAAAAAAAAGACUCGUGGUUAAGUAACAAUUUAGUCCUUGUACUUUUAUAUUUAUAGCAAUUUAGUUGUUAAACUUUGAUAAAUAAUGACAUAAUUUAUUUACUUUAUAAUUGACAACAAUUUAGCCUUUAUUAGUAAAAUAUCAUUAAUAUCUUACAAAUUCUCUUACCUAUAUGGAUGAAUAAACUGAUAGAAAAGCAAAUUUAUUUACAAAUUAUAAACACUAAAAUAUUAUGGAAUUUUUUUAAAAUAGUAAAAUAAAUUAAAAUAUUUACCAACUAUAACAAAAUUUUGGAUUUUAUAGUAGAAACGGAUAGACUUCUAUCACUAGAAGCAUAUCUGCGGUUAUCAAUAUUUAUUAUCGAUAAAAUCUAAAACUUUUUCUAUAUGUUGUAAAUAUCGUGUCAAAUUCAUUAUUUUUGACCAUUUGUUAGAGAGAUUGAUAUUUACUUUUAAUGAAAAAAUUAACCAUAUAAUCAAAUAUUAGUAAUAAAUUUUAAUGUAUAAUCACUAAAUUGUUAUUUAUUACACUUCCAUCUCUAUGAAGAAAAGAAUGUAGUGUGCAACUAUUGGGCUUGCUAAGUGUUUUUGUGAGGUCUCUUUUAGUUUAGUUAUUAUAAUUGUUCAUAUAAUUUUGUUGCCCAUUCUCGAGCACGUGUUGUUGUGAAUCUUUUUGAUCCCCGUGAUCCUUCCUUCCAAGAGAAAGGUCACGUGGAAGGAAGGUCAUGAUUCAGCUAUAUGACACUAAAGUUGAGCGAGAGCGACACUAAUUUUUAUGUGUGUCAGAAAGAGUAAUAAUUUGUAAAUGAGAAAAAGAAGAUUCAGCCAGACAUGGAAGAUUUUGGUAAAGAGGCAUGUAAAACACAUUCUUGAAAUGAUAGAAUUUGUAUAGAGUCUGGAUUCCAUGGAAAUUUUAAGGGAAAGAAAAAACUUGAAAUUCCUCUUAUAUUCUGUUCUGAACAAUAUAAGAAAACUGGCAUAACAUGUUGAAGGAUGAAGCAAGAAACCCUCCUAAAUUACAAACAGUUUCGUUCUGCUAUGUUUAGAUGAACAUUAGAUUAAGAUGCGACAAAAUGAAGAAUCCUAGCAAAAUCUUCACAAUCAUCUCUGUUCCUCCAAUCCAUCUCUUCCCCAUUCCACCGUCGCUUUUCUCGUUUGCAACGGACGAACUCCCAUGAACUGUACAUAAAAAUUUACUCACACUAAGGUAAUAAUGAAUGAUACGUUCUUUUAAAUUUAAGUUAGAUAGAGUUUAUAAAUUUGGUUUUUACCUUUAGUGUCUGGAGAACUGCUGGGUUCACUGGUGGGAUUAGAUUCUUUGAAUAUCUUUGCUUCUGUUGAAUUUGGUGAUAAGUGUAAAAGAGCUGAAAAACCAUAUCCAGAACACAACGUUAGAUGCCCAGAAGCUAAGGUAUUUGACAAAACGCUUUAAAUCCAAGAAAUUUGUGUAAACGGAACGGAAGCACUCAAUGCCCAAUUGAGAAAUACAAGUGAAUGGCCAUCAAACUUGUGUACAUAUAAAUGUUUGAGAAAAAUGCCCAAGUGAAAAGUAUGUUUUAGAAAAUUCCAUGAGUUGCAUUCUUUCUUGGAUGAACAUGUCUGUUAAAUUAUUAACCAACGUCAAGAAGAGACACGACUGUUCGGACAAUGAUAAAUUAAUCUAUAAAUAGUCUCUUCUUCAAAUUGGAACUACUGGUACUUCUCUCCUAUCAUCUAUGAAAACCAAGGAUGUGUUGCUUCCAUAAGAAAUGUAUUUGUUCUACUUAAGAGAUCACAACUACUCUUCAAACUAAGGAGACAACAUGAAUUCAUUAAGCUCCAAUUUUUUGUAGUAUACCAAGAGUCUAUGAGAUAUCAUUGAUAUAACAAAACAGAGAGAGAGAGAGAAAAAAAGGCAAGGGAUUAGUUUGCUUACAGAUGCACUCGGUGAUGUUGGCUGGGGCAUGGCAGGCAUGAGGGAGGGCCAAAGCAAGGGAGCCAUUGAUUUUAAGGCCAAGAUUAGGGUCAUCUUUGUCUUUAAUAAGAACACAUAGACACUUCUUGCUCUUCUGCACCACCUGUUUCAAUCCACUGCAGCAAUCAAUGGUUGGUGUCUUGGCAUCACCGCUGACAUACGGCAAGCACUGUGCGAGGCCGAUGAGUUGGUCGGAGCAGUCUGUUCUAUCUUGGUCUAUGUCUGAGGCAGAAAAAGAAGCUAGAAGGAGAAGAAAGUUGCAGAUGAAAGAGAAAGUUGAUAAAGCAGAAGCCAUGGAAAUGGUGAAGAGAAAAAGAGAGGAAGAUGGGAUGAUUUGGUGUGUUAUGUGAUUUUGAGUGAGACUUUAACACUGAACUUGAAGGUGAAGAAAGAAGCGGAGAAACAAAGGUGUUGAAAAGAGAGGGAAUGGGUUGAUGGUAAAUGAUUCUUUGCAUUUAUCAAUUUGCCAUUUUUUGUCAUGUGAAAGGAUAGUGUGUCUUCUUAUGAAAGGAUGGGGUGUCUUUGUGUGUGUGUGUUUUUUUUGUUUGUCGUCAUCUUUGUCGAGAUGUUUUAAGAGAGCUAAAAUUUAAUCGUUAAAGUUUGAUAUAAAAUCUUAUAAAUAAUGUCUAUAUGGUCUUAUAAAAUCUUCACUCUACCUUAUAAACUAUUUAUGACUAAAAUUUAACUUUCUCUAGAUCAUAGAGACCAAUAAAUUUAACAUUAAUUUAGUUCAUAUAGUUUAACAAAGCUAUAGAGACUAAAGUCUAACUUUUAAAAUCAUAGGAACUAAAUUCUAACUUUUUUCCAACCAUAAAUCAUAAGACUAUAAUAAGAGAAGAUGUUCAUGGACAUUUUGAUUAUAUCAUAAAAAAAAAACCAAAAGGUAAAGGUAAAGGUAAAGAAAAAGGAAAAGUAAAAGAAAGGGUUGUGAGAGUUUGUUGGGGGGUUUUGUUGUUUAGGGGUAUUUUGUUUAAUUUGGAUUGUUUUGUGUUUGGGAAAUCAUAGGAAUUUGUAGCUUUGCAGUGGGAAAUAAGGAAUCUUCCCAUGUGUAAAUUCUUUUUAAUAUCAAUUUCCUUUUAUGUCUUUUACUUUUUCACAUAGAAAAAAAAAUUAUAUUUUCAUUUAUUCUUAACCAAAAAUAUAACAAAGAGAUAAAUACAAAACAAAAUGAAUUUAUCUAAUCUACAUCAUUAAGAACUAAACUUCUUUUCUAUUAUUUAGUUUUUUUUUUUAUUGAUUUAGACAUUAGUUCAUUUUUUUUACGUUAUCUCUCAUCAAAAUUACAUAUUUACAAUUAUUAUCACGUAAAGAUUAAAUAUGUUUUUCUAGAUUAAUAUUUGGCAUGAACGAUCUUCUACUCCAUUUAACUAAUAGACUAAGUUAAAUAAGUUAUACAAGAUAAAAAAACAAUCGUAAGAUUUGACUAAACCAUGAACUUUAAAUUAAAGGAAAAAUCAAUUUAGUUGAGUGAAACUUUUAAAAUCUCAUAGAUCUAAAUUGAAAUUAUCCCAAAUUUAUAAAAACUAUUUUUCCCAAAAGAAAAAGAGUGUUGUAUAUUAUCGGUAUAUUAAAUUCAAGAAAAUGAUAUCCCAACAUAUUGCCUCCAAAAGUAAAAGAUAGAAAAAACAAAAUUACUAUUUUUAAACAUGUGAUAUGAAAAUCAUACAAGUGUUGAAAAUCACAAGUAAUUAUGUAUGAAACGAAAAUGAGGUGGCAAAGUAUGAAAACAAUGAAAAGAAAGGUUAGAUUGAGAACCCUAAAAAGAUAAUAAUAAUAAUUAUUAUCAAUGACGUAUCCAAAAAUCAUAUAUAGGGAUGGAUGAGUUUUGAACCCUUGAGACACAACCAGUAUACCAAAACCAUAAUAUAAUAAAAUAACGUAUUUUUAAGAUAUAUUGUAAUUUGACAUUUCAAAACUAAUAUUAAAAUACAAAGACCGGAAAUGUGAGGGGGCACGUGCCCCUGACUCCUUAAUAAAUCUGCCCAUAAUUAUCUUUUUGGAUCUUUUUUGUCAAGAACCCAUACUCUUCUCACAAAAAAAGAUUCAAAACAUUUUAAGAAAAACAAAAGGAUAAUUUCCAAAACAAAAAACAAAAUAGUUACUUUACCUAAUCUUUACCUUUACAAUCCAAACAACCCCUUAUCUAGUUACAUUUUUUUGGUGAUUGAAACACUUCAUUGAAUUGAUUGAAUUCUAAUUUUGAUUAAUAAUUAAAAUACGAAGUUGUCAAUUGUUAUCUUAAUGUAAAAAUUUUACAUAAUGAUUGGACAACUUGAAUUUUGAACCUUGUAAAAUGUAUAGAACAAAACAUUGAAAUUAAUAUAGGAAAGUAAUAUCUAUAAGCUUAAUUUUUCUAAAAUCAAAUGGGACGACAAUUUAAGAAUAUGAUAUUUAAAGUAUGUCACACACUUUUUCCAUUUUGCGUAUAUGAUACCUUUCGGUGUAUAAAAUAUAUAUAAGUAUGUACAUCAAGUGUUUAUCGGAUAUAUCAUAUGUAUCUUUACAUUUUGACAUUUGUUUUGGAAAGCUAACAAGUACGGGAUUUGGGUUGGAUUUAUUAAACUUAUUUUAUCAAAACCACGACAAGUUGUUUUAAAGCUACAAAUAUAGAGUUUUUUUUCUUCUUCUUUUUGUCUUAUUUGAUUUUGUUUGAUUAUGAGUAGUAGCAUCAAUUUCAACACACACAUAUUUGUAUACAUCCAUAAAGUUGGUAUAGAAUGCUUUUUAAGAACCCGUGAUCUAAUUAGGCAAACACUCUUCUUGGAUCUAUAAUCUUUUUGGCUAAUCCGUGAUCUCUUAUAGAUAUAAAUUAUAUGUUUUUCAUGUGGGUCCUUAACAAUUUGUAUUUGCUAAUAAGCCACUCUACUUCUUUUUAUUUAUUUCACUUUCUUCCAAUGAGUUUAAUUUUAGUAUUUAAGUUGGUACGUACCAUAUAUAUUUGCAUGUGAUAGUGUCUUCUUAUGUCCUCACAUAAAACUUUAUUCUUAUAUUUUGUUAGAGGCAUGCAUGUUAAAAGAAAACAACUUGGUGGUCGAAAGAACUCGUUCAACUCUCAACUCAAUUUGUAUGUUUUUUGAAAUAGAUUAUCAACUUGUAUGGGUUAGGUCGAGUUCAAACAAUUGAAAACUUUAUAAAUUGGCUCAUUUUAUAUUGAUAUCUACUACCAACUCAAAAUUUUUUAGAAAACAAAUUAUAUACAAAAAAAACUUUUGAAAAACAUGUUAAAAAAUCAUUUUAAGUUAUAAAAUUACUAGUUUCUCUAUCCCUUUUCUAUUUAAUUCUGUAAUUAAUUUGUUGAUAUAGUUCGUUUCAUAAAAUUAAUUGCUACAAUUUACGCUUGAAUUUUUGUUUAUCACUAAUAUAUAAGUCGUUUUGAUGGGAACACAUUUGUAUUAAAUUCUUGUCUAAAUUACUCAUUAGCAAGAAGUUUAUAAAUUUGUUUAAUUGGGUCAGCUUGGUGAAAAGUUUUCAUUAAUUAAAUUUUAAAAGCCCCGAUGCAACACCCCUCUAGAAUUGCCAUACCAGUCCUACAAACACACUAUUGUAGUCGGAUAAUGGAAGAGAUUGUUGAUGAAGGAAUCUAAAGCCAUGCUAAUUCUUAAUUUUGUUUCAAGAUGUUAGUCAUUAUUUAUGUAACAUUGUGAAAAGAUUAUGUUUGCAAAAGAUUCAACCCGAGAGUAAAAGGGCUUCUAGAGCUAGGUGUUGUGUUCAUUAUUUACUUCAAAUAUCAAAGCAUUGUGUUAAGAACAAACACUCAUUUGUAAUGGAUAAGAUGCUUUUCCCUGCAGAGAGAGAAACUAAAUCCAUUUGUGGCACACACCAAUCAGGAUUAUACAAAGCUCCAUGGAUACAAACUUUAAGGAUGCAAUGGAUGAACAUAUAGAAGAGCAAUAAGCUAAGAAGAUCAUCACUCGUUUCCGGAUCCAUUGACGAAGAGGACUCUGGUACAGGGCAUGGAACUCAAGGAGACAAAGAAGGCUCUAUUGCAAAAGUUUCGUUUGUGGAUGGAGUGAGCUUUUUAAUUUACUGAUGAUGAAGUUGAAGUUAAUAGGAGAAAUUUGUCGAUUUCUUUGGAAGCUCAUGGGGCCAUUCCUGGGAUCCAAUCUCAUAUUGUCAAAAGAAGAAAAAAAAGCGAAAAAGAGAAAGAAUGAUAAGAAGAAACCUGGCAUAACUUUUCACAGAGCUGAAGAAAGUUUGAAAAGCAAUUGAAGAUAUAGGAUCGUAUAAAGCACUUGGCCUAGAUGGAUUUAUGAUGGAAGAAAUUAGUUAAAAAGGGGCAGAGCCUUUGCAAGAGAUUCCAUUGGUGCAAAAUUGUUGUGGAGAUUGAGAAGAGAGUUUGUGAGACAAAUUUGGUGCUGUGUGUAAACUAUAAAGCACAAACACUCUUAGCCACCGCGAGAAAAAUGGUCUAUGAUGACAAUUAUUUUCUGUCGCGAACAAAAUUCGUGACAAUUAUUUACAGUCAUAGAAGCGGGAGUCAUGGAAAGUUUUUCUCUGACAAUUUUCGAAAACUGUCGCAAUAAGCUUUUUCAUGACAACGAAUAAAUGUCGUUAAUUACUAUUUGAUGACAACAAAUAACUGUCAUAUUUUAUAUUAUGACAACAAAUAUUUGUCAUAAUUUGCGUAUUAACGACAGUUAAAAAUAUGUCGUAAAUUCAUUUCAUAUGACAUUUUUUAAAUGUCAAGGAUAGAGCAAUUGUGACAAUUUUUUUAAAAAUAAAUGUCAUUGCUUCGCUAUUACCGACAUUUUUUUUCUGUCAAAUAUAGAUCAGUCGUGACCAUUUUUUUUUUUGAAAUUAAAUGUCAUUGUUUUGCUAUUGAUGAUAUUUUUUUCCUGUCAAAUAUAAGACAAUCGUGACAGUUUUUUUUAUAAAAAAAAUGUCAUUGUUUUAGUAUUGACGACAAUUAUGAAAUGUAACGAAUUCAUAUAUUAUGACAUUUAUUUCCUGUUGCAAAUUCCUCAAUUACUACCGUUUUUUCCUGUUCUCUUUGUUGCUCCACCAUUACACGAACCAUUUGAAUGACAAUAAUGUUAUAAUACAUGAGACCCAUAUAGAAACAAAUAAUCGAUACUUUAAUAUAUAUACAUACAUACAUACAUAUAUAUAUAUAUAUAUAUUAUAAUACACUUUGUAAUAUUCGUACAUUUAUAAUCAAGUUUGAACAAUUUACAAGUAUGGAAUUUACAAGGUCUUUAAAGAGACAUACAUGCAAUAUCCUUUAGCACUAGAAUUAUCACUCAAGUAUUUGGUAAAUUUCCUCAAGUCUCCUCCUUCCUCUAAAAUUGUUGCAAUCCUCCAUUUUAAAAGGUAAGCAUAUGCUUCUGCAUCCUGUAGAACAAAUAUAUCAAAUGUUCAAACAUGAAAAAAAUCCAUAGAAGGAAAAUAAAAACAUAUACAAAACUUGUAUGCAGUACACUAUAUCAAACAAUAAAUUAAUUUCCAAGUCAACUUCUUCACCUUUGGUUUGGAAAAAAUAGAAGGUUUAACACGAAUAAAAAAUAAUAGCAAAUGUGGAAUUUAUUCAUGCAUACACUUUAGUUCUUAAAUGUGAACAUAAUCGAUUGCAUUUGUCAAACACUAGCAUAUAUAAAAUGAAUUCACAGUUUCAUGUUGUCGUAUGGAUCUUUGAAUAUCCUAACAGAGUAAUAAGAUAAACUCAAAACAACAACAAAGACAUUUAUGCUAAAGGGGUCUUACAUUGGCUUACUGAUACCAAUCAAAUUCUUGCAUUUGAUAUGGAGAAAGAACUUGGGAUUGCCCUAAUUAAAAAUAACAUAUAUAAUUUGAUAUCUUAUAGAAAGAAUUAUUUGUAAGGUCGAUCACCUUACUAUUUGAUUGAAAUUAAGAGCAGAUACAAAAUUCAACAACACAAGACACAUAAAACAACCUUGCCGAAUGAAGAGGCCCAAUACUCUCCCCUUCCCAACACACGAGUUUGGAAAAAUAAAGCGUACAUACCACCCUCUAACAGACUACUGCCCUCAAAAACCUAUCCCUCACUCCCAUGCCCCAACAUACAACGAUUUCCACUAACUAAUUGCAUGAUGGUCUUUUACUUUGUUAAAUAUCCUAUAAUAAGUAAUCGCCAUGAAAGUCUAGCAAUACCAUAUCGUGACCACUAUUUAGUUCUUUAAAUCAGACAAAAGAUGCAAAUAGACAUGAUUGCCUGGCAUGUAACUCGCAAAUAUCUUAAAGAAUAGAGAAGAUCAAUCUUAAGCACACAAACAAAUACAUCCACAUUGGAAGAAAACCUUAUUUUUAGGGACAAAAAAACAAAUAGAACCGGAGGAGCAACUAUGACAACAAAAAAACAAAGUUUACUAUUUGUAUCAUUAUUUGAAGCUUUAUACCGUGAAUUAAUACUACAAUCAAAAGAACAUACUCAGAAUACAAGAAUUUCAACCUCUGAACUAAAUUCAAAUAGUCUAACAUCGAAACCACAAAAGCGAAAAUAUAUAUAUAUAAAAGCUCAACUAAAAUGAAAACCAAAAACCCGAUAAACUAUUUAAUUCAAACAACUAAAGAAUCUCCAUACAAUAUACCAAUAUGGAUGAAGAAUGAAGCUAACACUCAAAUAUUAAACUACACUCUCUAUCUCUCUCUCCAUUUCUAAUAAUUUUCAGCGGUUUCUCAAGAAAAAUAAGAAGAGUUACCUCUUGAAAUUUCUGAAACAAAAAGGUCGUCGAAGGAAUUAAAGUGUGUAGCUGAGGAUUCAAGUGUUGACAAAUUAAGAGCUGAGGAUUCAAGUUAGGGGAAAUAAAGAACUGAUAUCAAGACAUCCUCAAAUUCACAAAAAAAAAAAAAAAAAAAAGGUCAGAAGUUAAUACUCUCAAUGAUAUAAGAUUGAAAAAAGACAAUAGUGAGAUUAUAGAAAAAUAACUAGAUUGCCAAAAAAUUUGUGACAACAUUUUUGGCCCUUCAUUUCAGUCCCCCCUCCCCUCCCCCUCCCCCUCCCCUCGGAUAUGAAGCAACAAAGUAGAUUUAGAUUCUAAAACUACAAAUAAUUCUUACCUAACAAUUAAACGCAUCCGCAAGGCACAAUUGCAUUCUAAUGAUUCCAAUGCAAAAUAAUUCAAAACCGUCAACGCAUCAAACAUGAAAAAAAAAAAAAAACUUGUUACCUGCUCAAUAAGUGAAGCGGCAUGUGAGGUCGAUGGGCGACCAUAGCCGUGGGUGACGAUAGCCGAUGACAGAUGAUUAUGGAACUACAACCCACACUCACAUCGUCACAUUCCACACAUUAGUUACUAUUUACCAACUCAAAGAAUUGACGAGAAGAUCAAAUGUCAAAACAAAGGUAUCUUACAAUUAAAAAAAAAUGUCAAAGAUAUAUAACCCCAAACUGCAACUUUUCUUCCAAUUGAAAACUUCAUCACAGUCCUACAAUUUUUACAGGCUUUUGAUGUACAUAUUAUUAUCAAUUACGAUGAUAAUUGGAUUAUUAUAUUUAUGUUUUAUGUAGUUUAGGAGCUUUUGUAAUCUCCAAGAACAAUUUAAAGCCAUUAAACAACACAGAGAAGAAAAUAAAUAAACACAUGACAAAAGAAAAUAAAGUUAGGCAUGUUCUUCAUCAAAAUUUAAAUUUAUUGCAUGUGAAUCCAAAAAAUUAAGAGAAAUAAUUUCAGUCCAUAUGAAUCAAAGAUAUUCCUAAGUUUGAUAAGGCUGGUGAUGAAACCUUUCAACCUUAAGGAAGAUAUCAUACUCUUUCAACCUUAAGAGAGAUUAACAAUAAAAAUUAUGGAUUAUUCUCUUCUAUGUAGCCACCCCAUUGUUCUUUAAGAAUCUCUACAAUUGUGACAACAGUAGUGAUUGGUGUAAUAUUACAAAGAAGGAUUUGAGCCAACAAAACCAAAAAUUCAUCAGAUAUAUAUCCAUAAGCGUUAAAAUAAACUACAAGAAACAAAACAAUACCCAUUCCCAAGGCAGAAAGCUCAACUUCAUUAUGAUGUUGAAUGUACCUCUGAAUUUAGGGCAAACAACGAUUAGAAUCCUCAAUAAAAAAAACAACCAAAACAACAUAGAAACUGAAAUUAAUUAAACGAUUCUCCAGGUAGUACAAUUACUCAAAUCAUAAACAAAACGAGAAUCAAUAAAAGUAUAACUUUGAAGUCACUUAAACUAAUAUCAAUAAAAACUCAUAAGAGUAACAAAAACUAAUCCAAUUCUCCUAAAUUACUCAACUUGCCAAAUAUCACCAAAGAAGAUUUUGCACGCAAAUCAAUUCACAAGUAAACAAAAACAAAAAGUUUGUAGACCAUAACUCUUAGAAAGCUCUUAAAUGACAAGAAUUAAAAGGUAGGAAUUGAUAAUUCAGGUAAUGGAAAACAACAAAAGAAUCACACAAACAUUUUAUAGGAAUAAGUUAGACUUAUUGAAUUGGUGAGAUUUUCAUAAGUUGUAGCCAAAUUUGUCCAGUCACGCAAAUAAGAAGCUGCACCAAUUUUGGGUUGGAACGUAAACAUUUAUUAGCAAAUUAAGUUAGCAUGCAUAGUCAAGUAAAACUUUAGGCUGCUUAUAUUCUAGACUAAUACUAACAUUUUUAAAAAAACUAAAUACAACAAGGUAUUGUCGUGAAUAACGAAAUUACAACAAGUCUUGUCACUAACCAAAUAUCAAUCACUUGCUUGGUACGUAGCUGCAUUAUUAUAGUAGAUCGAUCGGUUAUUGGUGUAAAACCUAAUAAAAACACAAUAAUGUUUUAUUUGAGUUUGCCGGAAGAAUAUGAAUUAAAUAAGUUUGUUAGUUGAAUCUUUCUUCUACAUAAUGUGUUGAUUUAUCCCUAGAGUAAGAAAAGUAAAUGAUGAAAGAGAUAAAUUGAAAAAACUUGUAAUUAUAUAGAAAAGAAAUGUGAAUCGUGGAAGUUUAGAAAAAGAGUAUAACAUACAAGGAAGGAAUUUAAUUCUUGGAUGUACCACUAUAGUAUGCAAGAUCACAUUUCUCCAUUUAUAAUUUCCAAAACGAUGUUGAAAAAGAUCUACAAUAGCUUAGUAUAAACCAUCAAUUAAUGUAUAUCUUCCUUUUUACUUUAAUUUGAGUUAUUUGAAUUGAAAUCACAUACCAGAAAAUCAAGAAAAAAUUUAUAAGAAAGCAUGCCAAGUUUAUGCAUAAAAUAGCAGCACAAAGUAUCCUAUGAAAGCCACACUCACCUUAUUCUGCUUUUGUCAAAAUUCCAAACAUUAGUUCGCCAUGUAACAAUAACUUUCUCGUAUUCUUCACAACUUUUUCCUCCAUUUUCUCAUAUUCUUCACAACUUUUUCCUCCAUUUUCUCAUAUUCUUCACAUUAGCUUCCCUGUUAUACCGAGUUACCAGGGAAACUACGAUAUGCUUUAAAAGAAAAAUCAUAAGAUUUACUAUAGUCUAUAGUCCAAAUCCAAUCUAAUUGUAUAUUGGGUUCUCCUCAUUCUCAUCCACGAACAUUCUGAUAUUUCUGUUUAAGUUCCAAGUUUCAAAUUCUUAUAACAUGAAAUGGCUCAUCUAUCAAAACAAACAUUAGAGUUUGACUCCUCUCCAAAAAAUAAAAUCCAUAGUCAUCUUAAGCUUCUACUUGUCUCUGGUUGCUUUGCGAAUUAUCUAACUUUAAUGGUAAAACCAUCUUGCUACUUGUUCUUUGCUUCUAGUAAUAAGUUCCCCAAAUCCAACCAUUGUCAUAAUUUACUAAAGAAACAUGAUAGUUCACUUUAUCACUAAUACUUCAUAUUUGAGUAUGCUGACAUGCGCUAUCCAAUCAACUUUUGGUUUGAUAUUGAGAAAUGGACAACAAUGUCGUUUUUGAAAAUGUGGAUGAUUAAUGUCGGUUUCAAAUCGACAUUAAUGAGAGAGGUUUAAUGUCGUUUUAAAACCGACAUUAAUCAUCCGCAUUUUCAAAAACAAUAUUUAUGUCCAUUUCUCUCUUUAAUUUAUUAACUAUUAUUAUUUUUUAUUAUUUUUAAUUUUACAAAAAGUCAAAAAACAUAUCUCUUAUACUCUUUCUCAAAAUCCCCUUCCUUCACGAUUUUUCUUCAUCUCUCAAAAUCUCACACUACUUUUCUCUCUCUUCUCCAAACACAAACAGUGGCCGCUGCCGCCACCAUAGUGUACCUCGUACCCAGCCCGUGCCCGCCGUGCUAAUCCCUCACCACCACCUUGUCUUUUUCACGAUAUGCUCGUCACCACUAAGUUGAAACCCUCGUCUCUUUCACACUUGCCUCUUCACCAACGUCAGAAUCCUCAUCUCUUUCACGUUAUGCUCGCCACCACCGUUGAUUGUUAACUACUUUGGUUGAUUCUCACAUUUACUUUAUUGCAUCAUUGCAUGUAUAAGAUUGCAACUUUAGUUCUCUAAGAAAAAGAGACUAGUUGGUUCUUGCAAAACCACCAGUCUUGGUUUAGGAAUUACAACAUAUCGGAAGAGAGGUGUUAUAGAUAUAUAUAAAGCUAUUAAAAUAAAGUAAACAAUAUCAAACUAAUGUGAAAAUAUUUGGAUGAUUGUUCUUACACUAAAAAAUUGUGUUAAAAAAACAAAAGUGGAAAAGAAGUGUUAGCUGAAUUUUUUAAAAUAAAAAUUAAGAAAAAACGGUUGUGAAAGGCAUCUUAGUAUAUUUUUUUAAAAAAUAAUUAAAGUUUCCUUCCUUAUAGAUUAACUUACAUGCAUCUACUUUUAUUAAUAUCACAAUUCAAUUAUGGAAGGAAGGCAUUUGAAAUGUUCAUGUUGAAAGAAAGUUCCUAAUAAUUUAUUUACAAAACUAAUAUUUCCUUAAAAGAACAAUAAAUUUCUUUGUUUUUUUUAGUUUUUUACUUUGUUGCAAAGAGAGAUCACACAAACUUGUAUCCCAUGUGCUUCACUAAUUAAAGAACUAAUUUCACAAUUAUUUUUCAUAGCCCUAGGUGCCUUUCUAGUAUGAAAUGAUAGUUAAAGAACAACUUAUUUUUUAUCUUGCUUGAAACUUUAAUUCAAUUAUAAUAUAGAACUAACCGGUCUAUAAGCUAGUUAGCUAAUGCUAUAUAUAUGAUAACUAAUAGGCAACUUGAAUAAUCAUACUCAUAAUUAUAAUAAUAAUAAUAUUGAAAAAUUGAGUUUCCCUAACUCCUUAUGGUGAAGAUAUUUAUCAAUAAAGUAAGUUAAAUCAGUUUUAAGGAUGUUGACAUUAAUAAUUAUGAAAUAUACAACUUUAGAUUAUAUUGUUGUGAAGGAAGGCAUUCCAUUGAAGAGAGAUGAAUAACCAAAAUAAAAGAAGUGAAAUUUUUUAGGAGACACUCGUGUGCGGUGAUUACAUUGGGGUCGGUGCCCACUUUUACCAAAGCCAGUCAUCAAAUAAAGUAAGUUAAAUCAUCUCUUCAUGCAUGUCAUUAAAGAUGUAAAAUAAUAAUCAAUGAAUUGCACUUUGCUUUACACACAGCCUGCUUCAAAUUGAAGCCAUAUAUAUGGUUUAAAGGUUUUGCUCUAUUGCAUAACUAUGCUCUUUUUUCCUUUUCUUUUUUAAUAUUGCAGUUAUUAACACUCCUUCUCAUGCGUAAAUUGGAAUAUAAUAGGAAGUUAAUUUAGUUUCUUUUCAACUGAUCUCUCUUGCAGUUCUUUCUGAUUUCAUGAAUUGUCUGUGAAUAUGGGGAUGUUAGGUUGUGAUUUUCUGUUUGUUCUAUGAAUUAAAAAAAAAGGUUUUUCUUCACUGUCAACUAUGUGUUGUAGUUUGCUUUUUUUUUUUUUUAAAGAAAAAUUGGUGUGAACAUUUGAACAUAUGAAAAACAUUAGUGAAAUUAAAUGUGACAAACUUAUGAAUGGGGUAGUUUGGGAGGUAUAAUUUGGUUGGAGAGAAUUAGAGAAACAGUGGGAAAAAAAAAUCUAAAAAUGGCUAUGUUUGGAGGCCCCCCUCCUACUUCUCUUCUACUCCUAUUUUACAUUUUUCUCCCAAAAAACCACUUGGAUUUUCCCCCAUUUCCUUCCUUAUCACAUCAACAAAAUCACUGUCUUUGCCCUUUACUCGUUCCAAUUCCUAAAUAUUUGUCGUGGAGUAAUAUACAUCAAACGAUUAAAGCAAAACUAAGUAAUAUACAUCUAACACAUACCUAAUUUUAUUGAUAAAGUAUUUACUUUAUGAAACCAUAUGAAAUCAGUAUUUUCCUAAGGGAAAAUGAUAGCUUACUGGUCUGCUUGAUACUAACUACCCAACCAAAGAAAAGAACUAAACAUCCAUGUAGUACAUAUCUAUAGUUAUGUAAAGUUAAGAAAGUCAUAGAUUUAAUGGCUUGGUUUGGUAAGAGUUACAGAAGGAGGAAUGAAAAUCAAAUGGCUGUUUUGAGUUGAUUCCAGCCAGCCCCCAUUUUUAUAUUUUGCACAAAUUUUUUGUUUCAUGCCUUGAUUAUUGCAGAACUUCAGGAUCUAAAAAGAGAAGAAAUGUUGGGAGAGAGGCCAAGGUAACUACAAUUGCCCUAUGUACUCUAUUGUUGUCAGUAGUUUUAUUUUUGAAGGUUGUACUGAUGUCUCUUUAUUUAUAGUGAAAUUGUUUUAGAUUAUCAUCAUUGGCCAGAUGUAAAUAUAAAUUUUCGUAAUUUGACUGAAAUUCUCAUUCAAAGUAUCAUAAUUGGUUUGUUUUGAUAUUGUUUGUAGAAUGAUUGAAGUCAUAUCGGGUUGAAAGCUAAGUGAUCGUGUAGACAACCAGACAAUCGUUAAAGGUUGAAGACUGAGAAGACGUCUAAGAUUUCUUAUUUAAGUCAUGUAUUAGGAUCUUGUACUCUUGUAAAAUAUAUACAUAACACAAUAUUAAGAUUUCAUUUUGUGUAUACACAAGUAAAUGACAAAUAUUGUAGUUUCUAAAUUAAUAUUAAUUUUAUUGAUAUGUUGGCACGAAAAAAAAAUAUUUAUCUACAAUUAAUGUUGGUUUAUAAAAAAAUGGACAAUAAUGCAACAAUUAAAUAAAAAUAAAAUUGCAAAGGUGGACUAAAAACUUAGGCUUUAACGUCGUUUUUAAACUGACAUUGUUGGCCUCUUUAAUGUCAAUUUUAAGGUCAACCGACACUAAAGAUCUUCAAUAACACUAUAAAAAAUAUCGGUUUAAAAAUGACAUUAUUAAUUUCGUUUCUAAACCAACAUUAAUGAGACCUUUAAUGUCAUUUUUAAACCGACAUCAAAGAAAAAACGACAUUAAAGACCUUUAAUAACGCUAACAUAGAUGUCGGUUGCCAACCAACACUAAAGGCCAUUAAUAUCAGUUUUAAACCGACAUUAAAGGUAAAAUUUCUUGUAGUGGUUGGAUAAGUAAAGAAAAGAUCUAUGAUAUAAGUAAGGACAACUAUAGCUAAUUGCACGAGACCUUUGGAGUAAAAUUAAAAGCAAAGCUAUGAAGGCUUUAUGCUUAAAAAGUAGACAAUAUCAUAUACCAUUUUGGAGAUAUGUUGGAGACCUACGACAUUGUGGAUAUAUGUUAGAGGGUUCGUUGUGCGACUGUCUCACAAGUAAAAAUGAGCCUAAUUACAACACAUCUAGAAACUAAUCCAACCCAAGAAUAUCACAAGAUCCACUAUUUCUCAUCCGAGUCUUGGAUUAUUUCAAAAGUAAGAGGCCUCAUUUCUACCAUCAUCUACCAAAUUACAAGACUAAUUCAACUAUAUAUAUUUCAAAAAUCAUAAGACCAACAUGAAGGUUUUUUUAUGAAGAAUUCGUGAAAGGUUUAUUUUACGCUAAUCAACCUUGUUGGGAAUUUAAUUUGUACUGAAAAUCAACCAGUUUGAUAGAACUAAUGCAAAAGAUUAACAUGGGGAAAAAAGUUUCAACAAUAACCUUGAAGCUCGAUAAUAGUGAUCGGUGAUUGUAACCCUAUUACUUAAGAGUGAUGGCAUAACUCUUACUUAAGAGUGAUGGCAUAACUCUCCAAUAAUGUAACUUCUGAUUCAAGUUGUGUAGCCCUUUAAUUUCCUUUGUUUGCAUCUAGAGGCAUUGAUGACUCUAAAAUUUACAUUCACUGUCUUGCAGCCGUUGUCUCAGUUCUCUAUCCUACAAUGUGUUUAUUGAGCGGAAAAUAAUUAGAAGGUAGCAUUGAUGAAUAGAAAAAAUUGACCUUUCUUCUGAUAAGAAAGAGAAACCGAACUUCAUCAAAGAAUUAGGGAAACAAAAUAUAAUGGGAGAUGAGGAAUCGACCCAAAAGGGCAUCACGUGAGUGGUGAAAAGUUCUUCUAGUAAUUUUUUGAAGAAAUAAUAGAAAAAGAGAAUAUGAAAGUGUUUUUGUAAGAUCACUCGAGUACAACUCAUUUUAUGGUGUAAAUAACUAAUAGUAUUAUUUUUUUAAUUGCAAUAUUGAAUAACUAAUAGUAUUAUUUUUUUAAUUGCAAUAUUGUCAUGUGGGUAGAUGAAAUAUUAAAUCAUGAUGGUACUGAAGAGAGAGAAUGAUCAAAAGAUGAACUAUAUGUAAUAAUUAAAGCUCAGUGCUAUUCAUCUUACAUAACCUCAAUCUCCAAACUUCAUAUCAUUCUCUUCCUCUUUAAUCAGUAAAAUUUGUAGUUGAAGGACAACACAUUACCACCAAAAGUAAUAGUAAAACUUAUUAUAUAAUAAAAAGUGUCAUAGAAAAUUUCUCCGUUUUAGAAUUUUUUUACAUACUAUAAAUAUAAAUAAUAUACACACACCCACGUAUGAAUCAUUAGAGCUUAUAGAUAUAAAUAUAAAUAAUAUACACACACCCACGUAUGAAUCAUUAGAGCUUUUAUAUACUAUAUACUAUUGAUAUAGAUAUAAAAUAUAUAUAUACACCCACACACAUGAAUCACAUUCAAUCACAAAUACAUAAAUAUAUAUAUAUAUAUAUAUAUACCACUUAUCUUCAUGAUCACAAACGUAUAUAUAUAUACACACACUCACAUAUGAAUUAUUAGAGCUUUUAUACAUAUUAUAGAUAUAAAUGUAGAUACAUAUAUAUCCACACAUGAAUCACAUUCAAUCACAAACAAAUAAAUAUAUAUAUAUAUAUACCACUUAUGUUCAUAAUCACAAAUGAAUAUAUAUAUACACACAGGCACAUGAAUCACAUUCAUCACGAAAGAAGAUAUAGAUAUAUAGCCAUUAAUCUUCAUGAUCACAAAUAUAUAUAUUGAUUUGUUUUAACAAUUCAAGAGAUGUGCUCAUAGUGUUAAGGGUAAAUUAAAAGUAAUGCUAAGAGAGGUCAAAUACGGUAUUUGCUUAUUAGGCAUCUGACAAAAAUCACUUCCAUAUAUUUAGUGAACAUUACCUCUCUCAAACUUUCAAUAUUGAAAUUUGAAAUUUGAGCUCGAUUUUAUUAUAUACGAGUGGUAAAAGUGAAUCCUAUAAUUUGUAAUAGUCGUAGGAAGUUGAACACUAAAACUAUAAUAAAAUGUUAACUUUCAAAUUUAUAUUAAAUGUUUUGAUCUAUUUACUUUUUUUUAGUUUGAGAAUCCAGUUUUUACUAUCAAAAGUUUUAGAACAAUUGCAGUUACCAUCCUAAUUUAAUUAGGGGUAAAUUCUUUUAAAAUUUUUCUUGUUUAUUUAAAGUUUGAAUUCAUUGUUAUUUCUAAUUAGGUUCUAAAUUUUCAUAAAUGUCAAUGUACAUUUUAUCAAAUUAGUUUUGAAAAAUAUAUUAGGGAAAACUUUAAUUUCUCAGUUUUAAUGUUUGGAUUAAUUUAGAACUUUUGUUAGAAAUAUAUUUGAAUAUCGUUAAUGCAUUAAAUUCGUACAUGUGCGUAGACUUUCAGACUUUAGCUAGAUUAAUAAGUUGCAAUUGAUGAGAAAAUACCAAUAAUUUUUCUCAUAAUUUCUAGAAGUAAAGAUGGUAUUGAUGGUUUCUUAAAUCGUAAAGAAAAAUUAUUUUAAAUGACAAAAAUGUUGAAAUUUUUUAUCAAUAUAACACAAAUAUCGUAUUUUGUUAGCGAUAGAGACUACUAUCUAGAUCUAUUACGACAUAGAUAAUAGUUCAAGAUGGUUUAUCAUUGAUUCAUAGACGUAGACAGUAAAAUUUUGUUAUAUUUAUAAAUAUUUUAAUUGUUUUACUAUAUUAAAAAAUAUCUAAAUAAAUAUGAACACAAAUUAAUAUUAAUAAUCAAAUAUAGCCAUGGAAGUAUUCGAAUCUUCCACCCAUAUAUUAUAAUAUAAUAUAAUUAUAUAAUUAAUAACUGACAAUUUUGUAUAGGUUUUUAUGUUGGGUAGGAAUAUAUAUAUAUAUAUAUAUAAAAGAUAGGAGAGAAAUUUCCUAGUUAAUGUGGACAUAUUAGACUUAAUUAUAUUUAAGUUGUUAUUAAGUUAAGAAAAACAUGUGAUAUUGAAUAUUAAAAAAUUUGUUCUUUUAAUUUAGUUAUUAGGUCUUUCUUAAAUUGACAAUUUUCAAUCUAGCUCAAAGUUGACAAAUUAAUAAAAAUAAUUUUAAAAUAUAGUAAGAAUGAACAUAUAAUAAUUAAUAAAUACAUACCAAUGUUGAUUGUUUGGUGAAAAUCAAAGAUUGGUCGUGGAAUAGACAUAUAUGAAUUACGUUUGAUAUUUGAGAUUCCACAAUUUUUGUUUUAAUUUGAUUAGUAUAAUUUACUUGUCACCCCCAAGAAAAAAACAAUAAUAGAACUUUUUCUUAAAGUUUAAUAAUAUAAUGAAACUUUAACGUUACAAUUAUAAGGUCGAAAUUGAAGCUCCAACGUCUAAGAAUGAAAAUAUAUCAUGUCAUUACCUUGAAAUAAAACUAAGACUCCAUUGACUGUGAGAAUAUUAGUUAAUGAUCGUUUAGGAUCCUCAUAAGUAUGAAAUUUUUCUCAAUAUAAUGAAUCAUAUGCUCCUCCUAAUUAGGUGUGAGACUUCCUCUUACCAGUAACUUUUUAUCUUUCCACCUUUAAAUGAAAACAACGAAUCUAUUUGAUAAACUUAGUUCAAGAAUAAAUCAAGUUUCUAAACAAUCUAGAUAAACAAUUUAAGACAUUCUCUCUUCUUACUUCACAAUCACUAAGAUUGACACACUUAUGAUUUACGACAAACAUCCAAGAUAGUGUAGUGAUAAUUCUUCAAUACAACCAACCCUAAAAGAAAUACAACAACGUAACCUCUUAAAAUUUGCCCAAUGAAGGAGAAUGAAACAAAUGCAUAUCAUCACCAACAAAUUUAUUAGUGUAGGCACAUGGGGGCUUGAGACCCCCUAGGGCCUCAUCUUUAUGCUUUUUGUAAUAUAUAUGUUACACAUACGUAUAUAACUGACAUUAUAUUAAUAUUAGUAGUUGACCAGUUGUAAAUUAGUUUUAUCGAUCUCCUCUAAACCUAGGUUUAAGCCCUACUCUAUACAGUGUAAUGCCACACACUACAAGAUUUGUUGUUUUUUCCAAAAAAAAUUCUGGCAACAUAACAAACAAAAUCGAUAAAGAUAUGUGUUGCCUGCAUAUUUUCAUUACGUGGAAACAUCAUUUCUACCGAUGAAAAUAUAUAUGUGGGAAAAAAAAAAUUUCCAAUGCAUGGUAUGUUUCGUGGGAAGAAUUGCAUUUUUUACCCACGUGUUUACUUGUGUGGGUGUUUAUACUGAUGCACGCCAUAAAAUCGUGGACAGAGAAAAGGACGACAAGCUUUUACCAUGAUACACAUGCUCAAGCAAAAACAAAAUGUCGACAAAGGUUUUACCAACUUUUUUCUUAACAUUUGUUGACAUUUUUUUGUGUCGAUGGAGACUAACACUACAAGAAAUAGGAACAAUUGCGACGUCAAAAACAACGUUGGUGAAAGGCGCAUCGUCAUUGAUCAUCUUUCGUCGAUGCACGCAAUGUUACGUCGUGGAAAGCCCCUUUUCGCGACGUAUAGGAACAAGACGUUGUUGAAAGUGUAAAUUUAAAUUUAAUGCGUUCAUUUUUUUCUAACGUGUGGUAGAGUGCAGGUUGGGGAAGAUUAAAUAAUAACUAUUGUUUAAACUUUCCUCGAUAUCACCUUGCCACACAUCGCGAAAAGGGAACGCAUUAAAUUUAAUUUUAUACUUUUCCCGACGCUGAGUGGAGUAAUGUCGCAAAAAGUUUAAUAAUAAUAAUUGUUUAAACUUUCUCUGACGUGCAACCUGCCACACAUCGUGGAAAGUGUCCAUAUUGAAGUGACAAUGGUCACCUUUCCCUAACGUGUGGCAGGAACACGUACGUCGAAAAAAGUCAACAUUAUUUAUUCUCCCUUCAACACAGAACAAAAUGCAAAACAAAAAUAAACCCAAAAUCGACCAAGAGAAAGGGAGGGGAGGAGAGUUGUACCGCUACUGUCGUCGUCCAUCUUCAUCGCCACAUUCAUCGAAAGUGUCCUCUUUUCUUCUCUUUUUCUUUUCCAUUUCAACUUUUUCGUUUCACUGUACCCUUUCAAAUCAUAGCAGAGUCAAAAUACAGAGCACCGCAAAAUGUGUUUAUGAAUCCAAACUGAAACACAAAGUUAAAAAAACUAUGAAGAAACUACAAGAAUAAUAGAAGUAUGCAAUUAAAACAGAACGUAACAAAGCUAGAAGAUGAUGAUGAUAAUGAUGAUGAUAAACAAAGAAAAGAAAACAUAAUGUAAAAGAAAAAAACAAAGUUUAGGUUUUUUCCGACGUGACGUGAGGAAGGGUUUCCUCGACGUGUUGACAAUGUGCGUCGGUGAACGUUUUUCCGUCGUCGACGCGAUUUGUGUCGGAGAAAAUAUUUCUAACGUGUUUUUCCUAAUGUACAUGAUGACGUCGACUGAGACGUCAGAGUAACCUUCCCCAACAUGUUUUGAGAUUUUAUCGAUGUGGGGCUCUAUUGGGGAAAACUCUAUUUCUUGUAGUGUAAAUUUUUUUUUUAUAGUAAACAACUUUAAGAAAUAAUGCGACCACCAAAUCUCUAACAAAAACAAUCAUAUUAGUCUUUUAAAUUUUUUAUAUUUUGGGAUAGUUGGAUUACACGCUUCUAAUUCAAAGUCAAAAAAUUAUUUUUUCUCUUUUUUUUCUUCAAAAAAAAUCACAAUAAUGAUCUAAUAACUAAAAUAAUAUUAUUUUUUAUUUAUAUAUAUAGAUUUAAUUAGAUUUGUUUUUAAAUAUAAAAAAAGACUAAAAUAUUUAUAAAUAUAGAAAAACAUGGUUGAUACAUAUUUUAAUAAUCACUAAUAAAUGCUAAUAUAAAUUUGAUAAACAUCUACAAGUUUCUAUCAUUCAAACUAUUUUUCAACAAAAAUAAUUUUGUCUUUUACAACAAUUUUUUGUUUUUGUUACCUAUUUAAUUUUAAAUAUUAAUUGGAACUAAAAUAGUGUUUAAUUAUUUAAUAAUUAAAAUUUAAUAUUUUAUUUUGAUUAUGAUUGAUCUUAUUUUUUACAACAAUGAUAGAUUUGAUUGUUCUGCUUAACGUUAUUUUUGAAAAGUUCUUCUUUGAUUAUUAAUUUCUAAUUAUUUAAUUAACUAAGAGUUUAAUUAUUCUAACAUAUUAAAUAUUUAUAAUAAGUUCUCAUUUUUUUAUCUUCUAGUUUUAAUCCAUAGAAAUUAAGUUUAUUAUUUAAUUUUCAAGUCAAAUUUGAGUCUUUUUAUAAUGCAUUUAAUUUUUUUUCACAACAUUAUUAUAUUUAAUUCAAGUUGUACAAUAAAUUAACGUUAAUUAUUUUUUAAUCACUUUUCACAUUCUCACACAUUGUCAUGAUCAAAAUAUAUAACUUGUACUUAAAAAUCUAUUUAUAUACAUAUUAUAUAUAUAACUCUCUUUACAAACAUUUAAGUUUUUUUUUGUAGGUUGAGGUUUGCUUCUCUUGAUCUUCAUAUUCAUUGUCUUGCUUUUAUUUAUUUGGGAUUACUUAACCUAAUUUUGAUCAAAACAUUUUCAUUUUCAUUUGUUUGUCUUCGUAUUCAUUUUCAUCUUCAUAUUUGUUGUCUUAUACAAUUUUAAAGUAUUCUUUAGUAAAUAAAAAAGGUUUUUUUUUUAAUCAUCAAAGUAUUAAUUAUUUAAUUAAUUUGAAAUUAAUGGUGAAAAAGUCAACAAAAAAAUAUUUAUACAAAUUAAAUAUUCUAGAUAACUUCUAUGUUUAGAUCUCUAUUGUAGGUUCCAUGAAGUUUUUGUUUUCGUUUUUUUUAAUACGUGAUAUAUAAUAAAUGGAAAACAAAGCUUUUCCACCUAUAUACACAAUUUUUUUUUAAAAAAAAAAAGUCAAAGAAAUGAAAGAAAAAAAAAACAAUGUGAACAUUGCUCAAAUGUCAUAAUUGUUAAAAUAAUACUAAGAAGAAAAACCAAAUUUUAAUUAUAAAAAGGGAGUCAAUUAAUUGUAAAUUUUGCAGUGCCAUCUUCCACAAACAGCUCCCCACUUCAUAAUUUUCUCCUUAUUUCAUCAUUGCAUUAUUAUUAUUCUUCCCUUCAAUCUCUUAGAAUUAGAGAUGGCAAAAGUUGCAAAUCAGCCAUCGUUAAUUCCUAUGCCUUUUCUAGUCAUCUUCUUCGUUUUCUCAAUCUUUUUUGGUUUUGGAAUAACUCUCUCUAAGGCUGUUUCCCAAACCAGAUACUACAAAUUUGAAGUUGAGUACAUGUUUUGGUCCCCGGAUUGUAUCGAAAACAUUGUCAUGGGAAUCAACGGUACGUUUCCCGGUCCACCAAUUAGAGCCAAUGUUAAUGACACCGUGGUUGUUGAGGUGAUUAACAAUCUCUCCACCGAAGGUGUUGUUAUUCACUGGCAUGGAAUUCUACAACGAGGAAGUCCUUGGGCCGAUGGCACUGCUUCCAUCUCGCAAUGUCCCAUUAACCCUGGAGAAAACUUCACUUACGAGUUCAAAGUGGAUAAGGUGAGAAGAAUUAAAAUGUGAAUGUCGACAGAAGUGUCAUGAUUACAUUUGAUAAAAUCUUUUCAUUUAUUGAUUUUUCUUUAUUAUUAUAUAAUUUCUAGCCUGGGACAUAUUUCUAUCACGGUCAUUUUGGGAUGCAACGAGCAGCUGGGUUGUAUGGAUCCUUAAUAGUGGAUCUAGAGGAAGGAAAAAAAGAGCCCUUCCAGUACGACGAAGAGAUCAAUUUAUUACUUAGUGAUUGGUGGCAUGCAAGUGUCCACGAGCAAGAAGUUGGCCUUAAAUCAAACCCAAUGCGUUGGGUUGGAGAGCCUCAGGUAGUACAUGUGUCUAAGUAAAUUAUGUUCAUAUUGACAAUCAAAUUGAAAAGGACAAAACUUAAUAUUUUUCAUCAAAAUUUGACCUAUAUUUUACCAAAGUAGAUAAUAAAAUAAUGAAACUUAUAGGUAAAAACGAAAGUAUUUUCAAGCUUAACAAUUUUAUUUAACAACCAUCUCUUUCUCCCUUUUAGAAUUUGGAUAUCGAAAUAUUUUGAAAUAAUAUUAUCACAAAGUUAAUUGAAAUUGCUCAAUCAACUUAGCUAACUCAUCUUUUUAACAUCUUUUUAACAUUUGUCACCUCAUUUGCUUUCAUUAGUUAACUAACAAAUUUUAGAGACUAUUUAAAACCAUUUCUUAAACUCUAUAAAUUAAAGUUUUCAUUUUAAAAUUUUGAGAUUAAACACAUACAUAUGGACUAGUUCAUUUUAUAAUUUUAAUUUUUAGCCAAUUUUCUAAUGGAAAUAUCAAUUAAAAUUUUAGCCCAAAUUUAAAGGACAACAAUUUUAGCCCAAACUAGAAUAUAUAUCAUCAUAAAAUUAACAAAAUAUCAUAAAGUAUAACUAUUUUAUUAUAACUUUGAAACCAUAUAAGAAAGUAGAUAAUAAUAAAAAUUCAACCAUAAGGCUAAAGUUGAUUUUUAUUUUCUUGAAAUUUGUCGUUAGUAUAUUUGUUUGAUUCAUGUAAAAUACUUGAGAUUUAAAUCUAAAAUUUCUUUUCCUCUUGUUAUUGAAGACCAUACUCAUAAAUGGGACAGGGCAAUUUAAUUGUACAAGCUUAGAAAAAUACAACACGAGUUCAGAGCAUUGUGAGUGGAAAGAUCAAUGUGCACCAUUUGUGCUCAAAGUCGAACCCAAUAAGACUUAUAGGAUAAGAAUUGCAAGUACCACUUCAUUGGCUGCUCUCAAUUUUGCCAUUUCGGUAAUAUAAUCUCUCUCUUAAGUAUAUUAUUUUUACAACAAUGUAAAGAUAAAAGAUCGAAUCAAAUGUUCCACCUUAGGGAUGAAAACUUAUAUCAUAUGUUUAUCUUUGAAUUUUCAGGUGUAUGUCUAUUUAACUAAAUAAACAAAUUGUUCGUUUAUAAUACGUAAUGAAAAUGAAACUUUUAAAGACAAUGGAUUGUGAAUUUAGAUUUUCUUUUUUCUAAUCAUUAAUUUUUCAUUAUUUUUAUAGUUUUGAAAAAAGAAAAAGUUCCAUCAUUUUUCUUUUCUUUUUCAGAAUCACACAAUGCUGGUGGUAGAAGCCGACGGUAACUACGUUCAGCAAUUUGUAACCUCCGAUAUCGACAUUUAUUCCGGCGAGUCCUACUCUGUUCUCGUCACCACUAACCAAAGCACAACGCAAAACUACUGGGCUUCCAUAGGCGUCCGUGGUCGGGAGCCUAAAACAUCGCCGGCACUCCUCCUCUUCAACUACCUUCCCAACUCCGUCGCCAAAUUACCCAUUUCUCCACCGCCAGAAAUCCCCAAAUGGAAUGAUUACGAUCGAAGUAAAAACUUCACAUAUAGAGUCUUAGCCUCUGCCAUGAACACAACAAAACCACCACCAAUCUUCACUCGCCGGAUCUCCCUCCUUAACACCCAAAAUCUUAUGAACGGCAACUUCAUAAAAUGGGCAAUCAACAACAUUUCAUUAACCCUCCCCUCAACCCCGUACCUCGGCGCCAUUAAGUUCGGUCUGAACUCCACGUUCAACCAGACCGCCCCACCAGAAACAUUCCCAAAGAACUACAACAUCAAAAUCCCACCGCCGAACCCGAACACGAACACCGGAAACAGCGUUUAUCGGUUCCGAUCGGGGGAAAUAGUGGAUGUGAUUCUACAAAACGCCAAUGCGUUAAGCAACAAUACAAGUGAAAUUCACCCUUGGCAUUUACACGGCCAUGAUUUUUGGGUUUUGGGGUAUGGAGAGGGGAAAUUUUCCGACGAAGAUGAGACGAAAUUGAAUCUGAAAAACCCACCGUUGAAGAACACGGUGGUGAUUUUCCCAUUUGGGUGGACGGCGAUUCGAUUUGUGGCGGAUAAUCCCGGCGUUUGGAUAUUCCAUUGCCACAUUGAACCUCAUUUGGAUAUGGGAAUGGGGGUUAUCUUCGCGGAAGCAGUUGAAAAGGUCAGGGAAAUUCCUCCGUAUGCUUUGGCUUGCGGCCGCACUGCCACACCUCAGGUUGUUCCAAUAAUCCCACGACCCAACCCACCGGGACUAGAUAACCCAUAUUACAUCAUUUGGAUUGGGUUAGUUAUAUUUUUGUGUGUGAUUGGAUUGUGUUAUGUAUGUCUUUAUCGUAUCCGAUUCAAUAAUUUGAGUUGGAGACCUUAUUUAGGUAUUUCGGAGAGUCAAUCCAACCAAAUUGAAUUUUCAGAUUUGUCUCAAUCCAACCCAAAUCCAAACCCAACUCAUGAAGAGCCCUAACGAGAACAAUGAUUGGUAUAUUCUUCCUUCGAAGCAAAUCUCUAGAACAGCCUAGAACACAAUUUUUUCGGUGUAAUUUGGAGUAUGUAGUUUGUUCGGUAUUUUUAAGAAAUCAUUUUUUUUUUUAUUGCUUGUUCAUUUGUUGACCUUUUUAAAACUUUUUUGUUAUUUACUAGAAUUUCACUCAUGUGUUUCUUUGAACAUGGAAAUUAUUACUGUGGUUAAGGUAAUUUGGAUUAAAAGAAACAACUUACUAAAUUUAAGAUUUAUGGAAAUUACAUCAACUAAAAUUUGGAUACAGUUGGAUAUUGUUCACUUCUUCAACCUUUAUUGUUAAUGCAGCCUAAAAGUAAAAUUGAAUGAAAUUUGAAAUACAUUGAACAAAAGACCAUUUAAUUUUAAUCUUUGGAGUGAGUGAAGUGUUCUAAUGUGAACAAAAAAAAAUGUAAUGGUAAAAGUGAGGUGUGUGAUCAUUUUCAUCCUUUUGUUUUGUAUAAAUGAUCUAAAAUUGUGGAUUUGAAUUUGGGAAAAUAUCAACUUAAUUACACCUUAAAUUAUAGGGUUUGCUUGGUUGUAUUAAUUUAGAUUUUCAACUAAUAAUUAUAUCAAUUUAAUUUUUAAACUUUGGAGUUAUCUAUCCAUCUAAGUCUCAAAAUAAUUUUGUAUCAAUUUUAGGCUCUAAACUAUUUUAAGUGUAUCAAUUUCAAUCUCAAACUUACAUGAUUGUAUCAAUUUAACCCUUAAAUAUAUGUUUUAUUUGGAUAUACACUUAUGAAAGUCGUACAUUUAUGAAAGUUCAGAGUUUAAGUUGAUCCAGUUGUGAAAGUUCAAGGUUUAAAUUAAUACAAUUAUUAGUAGUUCAACGUUUAAAUUGUGAAAGUUCCAAAUUCAAAUUUUAAUUUUAUAAAAGUUUGGAGUUUAAAUUGAUACACUCUCAAGGUUUAUGGUUUAAAUUUUUUUUGAAAAAGAUAAGGUUAAGUGUACCGAAGCAUCCCUUUUAGCACCAUCCUCAUCCUCUAUCAAAUAUAUUUAUUCAUUGAAGUGCAAGGAACAUGAUGAUCCAAAAGAACAAGGCUAGAGGUAAGCCCAAAAAAAAAAAAAAACAACGAACAGAGAAGAAUAGUCAAGUAAAAACACUAGAGUUUAGAGCGAUUACAAUUGGAGAGUAGUUUGAAAAAAUCUUGUUUUCAAAAGACCAACAUCCGAUGAGACUGCAUAUAUUCUCUUCUGUGUUGAUAAUUCUAGCAAAGUUUAUGGUUUAAAUUGAUACAACUAUUAAUUCAAUGUCUAAAGUGAUUGUACAUGAUAUUUGUACGCUCUACAAAUUUAUAUAGCAUAUAUAUCUUGUCGGUUUAAGGAAAGAAUUAUUUUAGACAAUUCUACCCCUUGCCAAAUUUUAAAUUUACAACAUUAUCUUAUACUUUAAAAUAAAUGUUAGUGGUUGCUUAAAAUUUUUUUAAAAAAUUAUAAAUUAUAUUAUUUUAUAAUUGAUUUACUAUUUUUUAUUUAUUUAAUAUUAAUGAAUAUAAUAUAUAUGUAUUAAUAAUUAAGGAAGUUAUCACUCACAACUCACAUCAAAUGAAGUAUAAUAUAAAUAAGGAAAUGAUUUGAAUUUGAUUUCAAAAGCUAUAUAUAAUUAAUAAUUAUGAUAUAAUUGUCCUAAAAAUAUACGAAAACCUAAUCAAGAAAAAAAAUCAUAAUCUAGUACAUUCGUGAAAUUUUCUAGUAGAUUUAGGUUUUUUUUGUCUAAAUAUUUCUAAUUUAAAAGAGUUGAAGAAAAAUAUGAUUUUAGAGACAGAAAAUAGAAAAAUUAUAUAAUAUUAUUCAUUAUAAUAUAGUUUUAUCUGUGUACGAAGUUGAAAAAAAACUAACAGUUUUUCUCUUUUUCUUCUUCUUCAAUUUUUUUGUGGAUAGUUCAAGUUCAAGCUAAAGAUGAAUUUUCUUAUUUAUCUUUUUCUUUAUCCAUUUUAUUUUAAGAUUUGAAUUGUUGUAUUACAGUCAAUUUAUAAAGCCAUUUUCAUAAAAUUUAUUUUUAGAUCACAUUUAGAACUAUAUUUUUUUGUGCAAAAUUAAUGUGAACAUGUGAUCAUAGAUUUUUUUUAGAGAUAACGUGAGAAUAGUAAAAAAUUAGAUUAAAAAAUAGAAAAUUCAAAAAAUAUUAAGAUUUAUAGCAAAAUCACGGUUGUAGACUUUUUUUAACCGAUUAUACCAUUUGUAUAGGAAAUUUCUUUUCCGUGAGAUACAAUGUUUUUGCAUAGGUAAAAAUGAUACAUGAUAUCACAGAUUUACAGAUUCAGUGUAUUUGCAAAAAUCGUUAAUUUUGAAAAAAUCUUAAAUAUUUUGAAGUUAAAUUUUAUAACAUCCACUAAAAUCAUCAAUUUUGAAUUCUUUUAAACUAUCUUAAAAAUAAUGGUAAACAUAAAUUCAACAUUUUUAGAUUAUUUAUAUUUCUAAAUAUUUCUAAAAAAUUUGAAUUUAAAUAACUCCAAAAUACAUUAAUAACAAUUUGAAUUUAAAAUUUUACCAUCAUUCCUUCAAAUUGUGCUAAUUAAGAUUAUCCAUUUAUUUUAUUUAAAAAAAUCACUCAUAAAAUCAUGCUAUUUAGUUUAGUUGUCGCUAAAAUAAUGACAAACAUAAAUUUAAAAUUUUCAGAUUAUUUAUAUUUCAAAAUAUUUAUAAAAAUUUGAAUUUAAGUACAUCAAAAAUAUAUAUUGUUAAUAACAAUUUGUAUUUAAAAUAGUAUCAUUUCCUAAAUCGUGCUAAUUACAAUUAUUCACUUAUGUUAUUAAAAAAUUAUAUUAUCCCCUAAAAUCAUGCUAUUUGAUUCAUAUCUCUAAAAUAAUGACAAACAUAAAUUUAACAUUUUCAAAUUAUUUAUAUUCUAAAAUACUUAUAAAAAUUUUGAAUUUAAAUACCUCCAAAAUACAUAUUCUUAAUACCAAUUUGAAGUUAAAAUUUUGUCUUCCCCUAAAAUCGUGCUAAUUGGUUGAUUUUUAUUUUUAAAAAAUUAUUUUAUUGUGCUAACUAUAUUGAAUAAUUAUUUAGACGUUAUUUUUUUAAUUUACUUUAAUAUUCACAUUUAUUUUCAUUCUGUGAGAGUCUCAAAUACACCUUAAGUGAUCCACGAUCCUUAAAAUUUCAUAGUCAUUCAUUAUACAAACAUAUUACAAUUAUUUGGCACUAUUCCAUUUUCAAAUAUUAAUAUUUAUUUGCUCAUGUAAUGACAAAUAUAAAUAAUUUUUGUAUAUUUUAAACAAUUUAUUAAAUAAUACAUAAUAUAGUUUUAAUAAAAAAUUGAAUUUAAAUUUUAGAUCCUCCCCUAAAAUAAAGCCAAAUAUAAGUACAAGAUUUUCACAUUUUUUUAUAUAUUUUAAACAAUUUAUUAAAUAAAACAUAAUAUAGUUUUAAUAACAGUUUGAAUUUAAGUUUUAGAUCAUUUCCAAAAAUAAUGUUAAAUAUAAAUACAAUAUUUUUACUUUUUUAAAAAAAAAUCUUAAAUAAUAUAUAAUAUAUUUUUAAUAACAAUUUAAAUUUAAAUUUUAGAAUUGUAACGAUGCCUCAAUAACAUUUUUGUAAUUAUUUAAAUCUUCUUCCUUUAAGUUUUAUUCGAGAUUAUUUAAAUCUUCUUCCUUUAAGUUUUAUUUUCUUUUCUCGAAUAAAACCUAUGUGAGUGUUUUUCUUGCAAAUCAAGAGAGGAGAAAAGUUUCAACGUCAGCAACAAAAAUCAUGGGUCUUGUGCCAUUACAUACAAAAGAAUGCAUUUUUUGUGUUCUUAAAUCCCCUCAUGUCCAUCAGAAUGCAAGAUUCCAUUUUGAAAUCAGAACUCACCAACGCCUCAUUGAUAUUUUGUACCCUACUGCCCAAACGAUUGAUUCUUUGACGCAACUCGACCUUCCAACUAUUAUUGACGUAGGAGGAAGAAAUUGAAGGUUUUCAAGGUUUUGAAGUUGAUUUGAAGAAGUUGAAGGUUUUGGUAGAACAAACCCUAAAAAAUUAGCAAACGAAAUAUUUUAGAUAAAUGAAACUUGAUCUAAUAAAACGGGUUUAAAAUAUUCAUAUAAUAACAAAAUAUUUAUUGUUUUGUAAAGUUUAUUAAUGAAAUAUUUUGAUAGCUUUUUUAAAAUAUUAAUUAAAAUUUUAUUAAUGAUAAAUAUAAUUAGUUUAAUACAAGUUUAAAAUAAUGAAAAGGAAUAAAGAUAUUUUAGAAACUUUAUUAAACAUAUGUUUUUCCGAGAUCUUAUAAAAAUAAAAUAAAUGUUAUGUAUUAGAUAAAUAUUUAUUUUCGAAGUUCUAAAAAAUAAAUAUAUAAACAUUUAUUAAAUAUAAUUUAGGAUAUAAUUUUAUUAAAUAAAUAUAAUAAAUAUUUAUUAGAUAUAAAUGUUCCAUUAGGAUACAACUAAUUGGAGAUAUUAUGAAUAAAAAUUUCAUUGAUAUAGGAAAAUUUUGGUUUAAUAUUCUUCAGCAAACAAAUGUUGCCAUUCAAUUAGAAUCUAACAUAAUAUCCAACUUUGCAAAAUAAAUUGUGUUUCACAAAUCUAGUCACCUUACAAAGGUCUUAUACGUUCAUAAUACUACGUUGAAAAUCAUAACAUAUCACGAAAUCACGGGCAAAGGAAUAAAAAAGGCGCACGUCAUGUACAUUUCAAUUUUCAAUUGUAUUCUUCAAAAUUAAAGUUUUGUAUUAUAUAUCGUAUAUUUUUUUCUAAAUUAAGUGAUAACUAUCUUAAGAAUAAGGCAUUAAGCAAAAUCAUAAGCUUUCAUAAUCAAUCUAAUAUUAUCAUAAAAGGUAAAACAAUUAUUUAAUGUUAUAAUUUCAGUUUAACACAUCUAAUCUCUGAUCUCAACAUUCAACAUAUUAGUAAUGAAUGACUAAUCAAUUAACAUCAAAUAGCAUAUAACUCAACAAUAUUCAUUAUAGCCAACAUGAGUUUAGCUCAACUGGCACCUGUAUGUUCGUGUGGACAAGAGGUCCUGGAUUCAAAUCGCACAAGUGAAAACCAAGGAAUACUGAAACGAAAGGGACAAGUCUUUCAAAAACCAAAAGGUUAUGUCCAAAAGUUAAUUAUUUAAAUGUGAACAAAUGAAUAAACAGUUGAGACUAAAUUUAAAACUUUAUUAAAAAUGGAGAAUUAAAAUGGAACAAACUCCAAAAUACAAACACCCCAUUCAUAAUUUAACCAAGAAAGAAGAGUGCUAGCAAAUAACACAACAAGAGAAUAGAGUAAAUUACUUCAACAAACCCUAAAUAGCCACAUUUUCUAUAGCUUUUUCAGGAGUAUUUUAGGGAUUUCAAUUCUAGGGCUUUUGAGUGGGGUUCCGAAUAAGCGCUUUCGCAGUGCCACCGCAAGCCAUAGCGUUCGUCGGAAUUCUCCCAACCUUAUGAACUCCUUCGGCGAAUAUAACCCCCAUUCCCAUAUGCAAAUGAGGUUCAAUGUGGCAAUGAAAAGCCUAAACCCCUGGAUUAUCCGCCACAAAUCGAAGCACCGUCCACCCAAAUGGGAAAAUCACCACCGUAUUCCUCAACGGCGGGUUCUUUAGAUUCAAUUUCGUCUCAUCCGCAGCAGAGGAAAAUUUCCCCUCUCCAUACCCCAAAACCCAAAAAUCAUGGCCGUGUAAAUGCCAAGGGUGAAUCUCGCUAUGCUUGUCGUUCAAUGUGUUGGCAUUUUGUAGAACAACAUCCACGAUUUCCCCUAUUUGGAACCGGUAAACGCCGUUUCCGGUGAUGGUGUUUCUGUUCGGUGGUGGCUUGUUGAUGUCGUAGUCUUCUGGGUAUGUUUCCGGUGGGGGAUUCUGGUCGAAGGUGUGGUUUAGCCCGAUUUUAAUGGCGCCAAGGUACGGCGUUGAGGGGAGGGCUAAAGAGACGUUGUUGAUUGCCCAUUUUGUGUAUCCGCCGUUCAUUUUAUUUUGGGUGUUGAGGAGGAAGAUGCGGCGGGUGGAUUUUAGCGGUGGCUUUGGACUGCCCAUGGCAGCUAAGAUUUGGAAUGUGAAGUUUUUGCUUCGGUCGUAAUCGUUCCAUUUGGGGGUUUCGGGUGGCGGAGAAGUGGGUAAUUUGGAGACGGGGUUGGGGAGGUAGUUGAGGAUUGUUAGGCCUGGAGGGGUUUUGGGAUCACGGCCGCGGAUACCGAGGGAAACCCAGUAGUUCUCCGAUGGUUUUUGGUCGGUGUUGAUGAGGACGGAGUAAGAUUCGCCGGAAUAAAUGUCGAUGUCGGAAGUUAGAAAUGGUUGAACGUAGUUGCCGUCGGCUUCUACCACUAAUAGUUUGUGCUUCUGAAGAAGAAAAAAGAAAUUACUAUACAAUUUUAAAAAUAAAUAAAUUCUGAAUAAUUAGCAAGUUGAAUUUGACGUUUUAGUUUUAAUACACAUAGUAAAAAGAGAGAGAUAGUUACGUACCCCGAUGGCAAAGUUGAGGGCAGAGAGUGAAGUGGUACUUGUAAUUCUAAUCCUAUAAAUCUUAUUGGGUUUGACUUCGAGGAUAAAAGGUGCACAUUGUUCACUUCCACUCAACUUACAUUGCUCCAUUUUCUUCAUGUUCAUGUAUUUAGCUGCAAUUGAACAAUUGCUUUGCCCUCUCCCAUUUAUGAGUAUGGACUUUGAACAAGAAGAAGGGGACAUAAAAAUACAUUUAAUUAAACCUCUCAAAUAGCAUUAAUAGAAUCAACAAGAGAAAGUACAAUAAUUAUAUCCCUAACAAAAUAAUUUACCUAAAUCCAAUUAACCAAAUCAAAACCCUUACGACACUUUAUCUUCUAUUUAGGUUGGUUUAAUUUCCAAUUCUUUUUACUUUUUUUAACUUCAUUACAUGGUGAGAUUUCAUCUAAGGAUAUUAUGGUAACUUUUGAAAAUAAUAUAAAAUGUUUUUUUUUAGAAAAAAUAAUUCAACAAUGAUAAUUGGAAGUUUGCAAAAAAGUUUAAGAAACAAUGUCUAAUAUAAAAAGUAAUUGUUAUGUGUAUAACAAAAACCAUGUUUCAAGCAAGUAAGGUAUUUAUAAGAGGGACAAUAUUACUUUCCUCAAUAUGUUUUAUUUUGGUAGAAAUUAUACCUUAUGUUAUUUAUGUGUCUCAAAAAGAGACAUAUAUGUUUGAUUUGUUGUUUCUUUUAACGGAAAAAAAAAAAAAAAAACUAAACGUGUUCGAACUCUUAUAGUUUGAGCUAUCUUGUGUUUUUAGUGUAGAGUAAGAGAUUUAAAUCAAUUUCAAUUUUUAGAGAUAAAAGUAAUGUGAAUGUCAAUGAAUCAAACUCACUCCGUUAUGUAAUUUUGACGUUGAAUUUUAUUGGAAAAUUGUUUUAAAUGGUAAAACGGUUGAAAAUACUUAUAAAUACAAUAAAAUUUCAUGGGCUUUCAGUCAUAGACAACUAUCCAUGAUAUUUUGCUAUAUUUAUAAAUAUUUUUGUUUAUUUUGUUAUAUUUGAAAACAAUCUAAUUUUAUAAAAUGUUUUAGUUAUUUUUUUGUCUAAGGAAGUUUUGUUUUUAAAAUGCCAUUGAGAGAAUAUUUUGUGGACAUUUUUGUUUGUUUGUAGUUAAAGCAGCAAACAUUUUGAAUAUUAAGAAAUAAUUAUUAAAAGUAUAAUUAUACCAUUUCGACAAAAAAAUCUAACAUUAGUUUAGUUAGAUAAUUAUUAAUAAUAAAGUAUAAUUAUACCAAAUUGCUACCUAACAAUACUUUUAUUUUUUGCUUUAAAAAAAAUAUAAGCUUAUAAUAUUAUUUUCACAAAUAAUUAUCUUCAUUAAUUUUAUUAAUCUACCAUUUAGAUAUACAAAAUCAAAGUUUUGAUAAAUAAAUUUGUAAAAGUAGAUUUUGUUGUAAAAAUUUAACAAAAGAAUCCUACACAAAUGUUUCAAUUAUCUCUCUUUUCAUUUGAGAUAUGCUUUAUUUUUAUACAUAAAAUUUUAAUUUAAACACUGUCCUUCAAAAAAUAUCCUAAAAUAUAAUAUUGAAACAAACUCCAUAAUUCUUUCUUUCUUUAAUUUCUUCUUCUUCUUCCUUUUUUUUUUUUUUUUUUUUUUGGUUAAAGUAGGACUUAAUUUUUAAACCUUGACCAUGAUGCCAAUAUUCAUAUUUUUGAACUUGUAGAAAUAAAAACACUCUCAAAGGUGUAUAUAUAUAAUAAUAAUAAUUUUCAAAAUAAAUAGAGGGAAUAUAAAUGAAAGUUUUGUUAGAGAAGAGUAUAGAAAACCUACCUCACAUCUCAUGAAUAUUCAGUAUAAUUUAAGAAAAUAUCAUAUUUGAUGGUUAGUCCAAACAUAAUUAGGAGAUAAAGAUAUAACUUAAACUACCUGUGGUUCACCAAUCCAACGCAUUGGGCUAGAGCUAAGGCCAAUUUCUUGCUUUAGAAUGCUUUCGUGCCACCAAUCACUAAGCAACAAGUUGAUUUCUUCGUCGUAAUGGAACGGCUCUUUCUCUCCUUCUUCUGGAUCCACUAUCAAGGAUCCAUAUAACCCAGCCGCUCUCUGCAUACCCAAAUGACCAUGAUAGAAAUAUGUCCCAGGCUGCCAAACGCAAGUUCAACAAAACAAAUAAAUUUUGUUAGAGAUUAUAUUUUAUGUCACUUUAUUCAGCAUCGACAUUUCGAAACCUUCUCACCUUAUCUACUACGAACUGGUAAGUGAAGGAUUCGCCUGGGUUAGUCGCACACUGCGAGAUGGAAGCAGUGCCAUCGGCCCAGGGAGUUCCCUUCUGUAGGAUUCCAUGCCAAUGAAUGACAACAUCUUCAGUGGAGAGCUUGUUAAUCAUCUCUACAACCACAGUGUCACCAACAUUGGCUCUAAUAGUUGGCCCGGGAAACUGGCCGUUGAUUCCCAUGACGAGGUUUUCUUUACAGUCCGGGGACCAAAACAUGUAUUCAACUUCCCAUGUGUAGUGUCUAGUUUGGGAAACAGCAUCAGAGAGAGUUAUUCCAAACCCAAAAAUGAUUGACAGAAGAAAGAACAUGGCUGGAAAAGGCAUAGGAAACAAUGGCUGAUUUGCAACUUUUGUUGCCAUCUCUUGGUAAAGAGAUGGAAGGGAAGAAUAAUAAUGCAAUGAGCAAAAAAGAGGAAAUUGGGAGUGGGAAGUUUGUGGAAGAUACCACUGCAAUUUACCAACGGCUCCUCCUUAAUUUAUAAUGAAAUUUUGUGAGGUUUUGAUAAUACAAAUUUAUGUCAACUUAUUUUUUCUUUUGUCUUCAUUUGUUUGAUACUUUUUUUUAUUGGUUUUAUAGUUCUAAAGGUUUUUUCUUCUAUGGAAAACUUGACGUUUAUAUGAUGGAUAUUGAGAACCUAGAGAGAGAUUUAAAUGUAGAAGUUUGUUUGGAUGUUUAAUUUUUUUAAUUAAAAUGUAUGUAUAACAUAAUAUAAUAACUUUUUUUUAAGAAUUUGCAUAGUAGAAAGGUACUGAAAUUAUGUGUUAUGUAAGAUUGUCUUUGCUAAGCUUUAGGUAAUCUAGAUACUAUUAAUUUCAUAUAAUAAAGUUUAUCUAAAUUUUUUUUAAGCUGAAGUAAAUUUAUUUGUUCUAACAUUUUCAUCUUAUAUUUUUAUAUCAAUUAGUUUAUAUUAACUUUAUUUUUUUUGUUUUUUUUAUCAUAAAUAAAUUUAUAUUAUAUAUUUUUUCAUUUAUACAUAUUUUAUAUUUCACAUUUUCAUUUUUUUAUUUAAACAUGAAUUUUUAAUGCAUGCAUGAGAGUCUUUCUAAAUACAAAAGUAUUAUGCCUAAAAGAAUAUACAAACGUAUUAGGUAGUUGUGGGAAAGAUAAAACGAACAUUGUAGUUUAAUAUAUAAUUAAAAAGAAUCCAAAUAUUAUUUGACUUUAUCUAAAGUUAAUUAUUAAUUACAUAUAAUUAAUCACAACCUUGCAUUAAUUUAUAUUUAUAUAAAAACAAGUGAAAUAGAGAAAGUGGAUAAAAAAAAAAAAGAAAAAUCCACCAAACUCAAUCAAAAUAUCAAUUUCUUUUUGCUAUAUUUUUCUAUCUCUAACGAUUUACCUAAAAAAAUGAGAAAAAUGAUGGGAAAAGGGUUAGUAAAAGAUUCUUCAAAACAUGAAAAGUCUUAAGAACCGUGAUUAAAAUAGAUAUUAACAUUAAUAAAAUGUUUGGUUAUAAUUAGAAAUAUUGAGGUUUCAAACCUUACGAAAAUAUCAAUAAAAAAUUUGAAUAAAUUAUGGAAUGAAAUCGUUAUAAUUAAUUAAUAAAAGUACUUUUAUUGUGACUUAAUUAGAAUUAACCAUUUUUAAUAGCAAUGUCUAUAAAGUAAGACAACCAUUUAGGUGCCUAUUGUUAGUGCAUGUGCAAAUGUUAAUAAGAUAACCUAGAUUUAAAAAUAAAUGGAAAAGUAGUUACCCAAGUUUAAGAAUGCUUUCGAGUGAAAUAUUCCACGAGGUUAAAAGUAAGUUGAAUUUUUUGGUUGGAGGAAAAAUACAAAUAUAACAAUUAUAUAAUCAAAAUAAUUAAACAUACAACAACAUUUUAAAAAAAUUAUAAAUAUAUAGCAAAAUCUAUUAAAACCUGUCAAAGAAAGAGUUAUCUCAAUAGAUUUUGCUAUAUUUAUAAAUUUUUAAAAAUGUUUUUAUAUAAUUAAUAAUUAUUUCUAAAACUGCUAUCCAUUAUAAUUAUCCUAAUUAAAAUUUAGAGCUCUUCCUCUAAAAUUUCGAUUUAUAUUGUCCAUGACUUUCCUACGUGUCAUUCAUUAUUGUUAUAUUUAUUUAUAUUAGUAGGUUAAAGAGUUGACCUUUUACUAUAUUUAAUAUUAUUUAUUAAUAUGUCAAUAUGAACUUUUAAUUAAUUUAAGGAAGCCCUAAUAAUUCCAUUAAGAGAUUUUUUUUUUCAUCAAUAUAUAUAUAAUGUAUUUUUAACAAAGCUAUAAUAGAGGUUGAGAUUAGAAGAAAAGUCUUCUAAAGUAAAACAAUGAGAGACAAAACAAAUAUAGACAAAAAAAAAUCAUAAAAUUGCAUCACACACAAGAUCAAACGAACCAAAAAUAUUUUUUAAAAAUUGAAUAUUCAAUCUCACUCUCACAUGUUACUUCAAAUUAAUGUACUCAUUAACUAAUAAAAGUACUUUACCUAUAUAUAUAUAUAGGACAUGAGGUUUUUUAAAAAAAAAAUCAUUAUCGACGCCUUCUCCUCUCAUCGUCUAUUUUAAAAAAAAAGUCUACACAAAUACACGUGUAAGAAUUUAUUAUAUAAUAAUUUUAUUUAUUAAAAAUUUAUAAGAUGUAAAUCGAUCCAUAUCUAAAAGUUUAGAACUAAGGGCUAAAGUUACGUAAUUUUAUAAUUACGUUUGGUGAUAGAAAAUUAAGGUUUUAGGGGCAUAAUUGCAGUUAGAAUUAUAUGAAGGGUGCUUUUUGCAAUUACUUCAUACACUCAACAUCAAAGUGAGUGUUUAGUACACAAGGCAUGUCAUUCAUUGUAUGUCCACUCCACAUAUAUAUACAAUACAUAUAUGCUCAAAGGUGUUAUUAACAAAAAUGAUAAUUUUUUGAAAAAAAUAUCUUAUAUCAAAACAACUAUGUCUUUGUCCUUACUAUCAGUUAAUUUCCAUCUAUAUCUUUAUUCUUUUACAUUUCUACAUUUUCAAUCUUUUUCAAGGGGCAAAUUGACAUUUUAUGCCUUUUUUAUAUUUAUGAUAAUUAAUUGCAACCUUAAUUUUUAUAAAUAUAUAUAACAAAACUCUAAUAUAUUUACAAUCGUGUAACAAAAUCAACAAAAUUCAUGAAGCUAAUAAAAUAUUUUCAUAAAUUCCAUAUUUGUUCCUGAUAUUGCAAAUGAUUCGUCGCUUCUCUUUCCUCUUCUUCUUUACAAUUUUUUUAUCUUCUCUUCCAGAUUUCUUCAACUCCUUUGAUGUUCUUUCUUCUAUUUUUAUUCAUCUUCUUUUUCUUUCUUUCCUUCGACUCCUCUUCUAAAUAUUAAUUUGAUAUGAUCUAAACAAUCGCUUACCUCAACAUGAUCAAAUAGCAUGGUCAACACGAUUGUUUAGAUUUAAAGUCAUUUUCCAUCGAUUAAAAAGAACUACACGAUCGUGUGGAAACGAUUUAAGUGAUCACUUACCUAGUCAACAUGAUAUAUAUAUAUCAUUUAGCAUGGUUAACACGAUCAUUUAGAUUUGAAGCCAUUUUUUCUAUCGUUUCAAAAGAACUACACGAUCGUGCAGAUAUGAUCUAAACGAUCGCGUACCAUAGUCAGCUCGAUCGUUUAGUGUGGUUAACACGAUCUUUUAUAUUUAAAACAUUUUAUUUCAUCGUUAAAAAGAACUACACAAUCGUGUGGAUACUACCUACACGAUCAUGUAUCAUGUUCUAUGUCGAAGUGUCUCAUGAUCGUUAAUUUAGAAAAAGAAUUAUACAUGUCCAUGCGGCCGAUUAAUCGUGUGUUGACUAAGAUAUUUUUUAUAUAUUUUUUUCAUCAUUGGCCCGUAACUUCUUCCAUUUUCAAAAUUGUUCUAUACAACGUAAAUAUUAUGUUAAUUUAUUAUAUUUUUUAAAAACACUAAACAAAACAAUAAUUUGGGUGUGAACUAAUAAUGUUUCAAUAAAAGAAUAUAUACAUUUUUUAAAUUUUAAAAAGGGAAUGAUUAAAGCUCAUAUUUUGUUUUCGUAUAAUUUUUCGAUAAAACUCAUAAUUUAAGGGAAGGGAAGGGAAUGACUAUAAAAACUCAUAUUUUGUUUAUAUUUAUAUAUUUGGUUAAAUUACAUUUUUACCCUUGAAGUUUAAAAUUUGUACGAUUAGUUCUAAUGUUUCAAAUUUGCAACAAAAAAAAAAGUACUCAAAUUUUAGAAAAUGCUCGAUUACGAUCCAAUUGGGAUCGGUUAAAUAGACAACAAAGAUGAGACAAAUUUACAAACUUUAGUAUGAUGUGUGACGAAAAACGAUUCCAUGAAGAUGUGGCUACAUUCAAAUAGUACCAUUAUUUGUAAGGUGAAGUUUUUUUCGUCAAUCUCUUCCCUCUUCUUACAAAAUUUGUUGUUACCAAUUCUUCCCAUCACUUGUCUACUUUUCUUGAUUUUGACAAGAGAGAAAAAAAGUUGGUUGACAACAUCCUCGAGAGGGAAGGGUGGGAAGAGAAAACAUUUUUUAAAAUUUUUAUUUUCUGAAUAAUAGAUUAAAGUUAACAAUAAUAGUUAAUUUAAUGUCUAAAUUGUGAGGAAGUUGAUUGUUUAAUUUUAAAAUGUGGAGACAUACUUUAGGAUCAAAGGUAUAAUUUCUUUAUAUUUUGAAAGCUACCAAAUUUAGUUCACUACCUCUAUUUUAUUUUUUUUCAUUUGUUUUUCACGUGGGAACAAUGAAAAUAUGUAGUUUCCUUUCAAAUUGGAAAGCAAUUCUGUCUGUUGGCUACAAAGACAAAAUACUAUUUGUUUUUCUUUUUAUUGUCUAAAUAAUAAUAAUACACGUUAUUGCUAUGUAGCUUUUAAUGAAGUAUGUUAGAAGUGUUAGGUGUGUCGGAGGAUAGAGGUAAAUUUAAACUUAACUUUUGUGAAAGUUGGGAGGUUGGACAUAGCGUAUUCAUGAAUUAAGCUCGAGUAAGUUGGAGCAUUUGAGAUUAGAAAUAUAAGACUAAUCAAUCUUAUUUAUGUUUUAAGACUUUUAACGAGAUUGACAAGAGUUGGAUGAAAAUUAGGAAUAGGUUUUAAUCGAUUAAGCACAGAGAAGAAAAUUUUCAAUUUUUAGAGGUUGCAAAAUAUCACGACAAUAAUUAUGGACGACUAAGGUGUCCAAGCAAGAGAUGUAUGAAUUCAAAUUGAGACUCAUUAGAGGGUGUGGAGCGACAUCUAUUAACAACUGGAAUAUCCCCCAACUAUACAGACUAGGUAUAUCAUGGAGAGCCUGUGAACUUACACAGAGGUAUGCAAAGAUUUGAUGAAGGAACUAGCAUUAGUAACCCCUUUUGAAAUGUUGGAUAUGAUUCAUGAUUUACAAACUCCAAACGAAUGCGAAGAAGAGACGGAGGAAGAUUUGGAGAAUGAAAUGUCGUGUAACAGUGGGGUAGAUAUAGAAGAAGAGACAACAAACGUCGUAUUUCAUGAGUUAUUAAACCAAGCAAGUUGUGAACUAUACCUCGACUGUUCAGAAUUUUCGUCCUUGAACUUUUUUGUUAUGGUAAUGCAUUUAAAGGUUCUUAAUAGUUGGAGCAACAAGUCGUUCGAUAUGAUGUUAGAGAUAAUAAAAUGUGUGUUUCCAAUGUGUGGCACCAAUAUCUCUAGUUCAUUUUACGAAGCCAAACGAAAAUUGCGUGAGUUGGACUUGGGAUACGAGAAUAUUCAUGAUUGCAAGUACGACUGUGUAUUGCUCUAGAAGUGUUUGGGGAUUUGCAACAGUGUCCAACUUGUGGUGAGUUUCGAUACAUGGUUAGUUCUAAUAGAUCAAGAAAAAAUUCUGCAUAAAGUAAUCCUACUACUUUCUGUUGGUGCCGAGAUUUCAACGCUUGUUUGUAUUGCAAGAAAGCUCGACAGACAUGAGAUGACAUAAGGAUAAAUGAGUGAGAACAAAGGAUUUGUUGAGACGUCCAACUGAUGUAGAGGGAUGGAAGCACUUUAACUCUGAAUUUCCUGAUUUUGCUCUAGAUUUACAGAACGUCUGUUUGGAAUUAGAUGCAAAUGGGUUUAAUCCAUUCGGUUAUAUGAGUGUCUCGUACAAUAUGUGGCAUGUGGUGUUAAUUCCUUACAAUUUGCCACCAUAGAAAUGCAUAAAAGAGUCAAACUUUUUCAUGCCAUUGUUCAUUUUUUGUCCAAGAUCUCCUGGUAGGGAAACGGAUGUGUACCAACAAACCAUUGAUUGAGAAACAGAAAGAGUUGUGGACUUUUGAUGUGCGUACGUAUGACUGUAUUACAUAUCAAUUUUUUCAAUUGCACGCAACCUUGUUGUGGACAAUUCAUGACUUCUCGACAUAUGGUGACCUAUCUAGGUGGAGUAUGAAGGGGUAUCAGACAUGUCUCAUUUCAUGGAAAAUAAAUCGUCGUUGGAUAAGAGAAAAAUAGCUUUCAUGUGGGACAUCGACGCUAUCUUUCAGAUAACUACAUGUUUGCCGUCGAAGUAGGCUACAUGAUGGAAAAGUCUAGCGUAAGCUAAGACUCCUCCAAUAGUAAUAAAUGAGCAUGAAAUCUUCAAACAACUAGAUUCGUUAGAAUUUCCACUUAUGACUAAGUAUCAUUCGUUAAAAGAUAAGAAAAGAAAUAAAGCUUUUGAUUGGUACAAGAAAAGUAUUUUCUUUGAUUUUCUUUACUGGUCGAGACUACUAAUUCGUCAUAAACCUGAACAACUUAAUUAUAUUUUUUUUGUUAAUUAUAUCGAUUUCAUAUUUUGUUUUAUAAUUUGUAAUUUUUUUAAUUUUAAUAAUAUGUUACAAAUUUUGUUUCUUUCAAUUUGAAGCGGAACUGAAAAUAAUAUACCUUACAAUAAAAAAUAAAAUAAAGAAAACAAUAAAAUGAUAAAAUAAUAAAAUAAUAAAAAAGAAAUUUAUCCCAACCUAGAAAACAGGUCGGGAUCCUGUGUUCACCCUGACUUACCCAUACGACAUCGGGGAAACUUUUCUCGAUGCAUGUCGAGAGUACCCUUUUCUUGACGCACAUAGACAACAUCAAGCGUAUUCCACUACCGACGUCUUGCCUGUGUCGGCAUGGACAGUGUUGGGAAUAACCCUAUGUUGACGUCUUCACUUUGAUGCGUCGUAGAAAGCUGCCCCGGCGUUGAAAUCCUGACGUUCUAGUUGACGGAGAAUUAUGCGUCGAUAAUACUUUGACUGACACCUUUACUAUUUUUGCCGACGAUUUGUGGUGUUAGAAGUCCUCCGCUUUCUUGUAGUAGGAGUUGCUCACAAGUCCUGACGUGUUAUGAAGUGCGAUGAGAGAGACUGCACCAAACGCGUAUAUGAAUCGACAUUAGGAGCUUGUCCUUACUUUCGACGUCAAAAUGAAGCGCGUUGGGAAAAGGAAACUCCUGACACCGAUUCAUAUACGUGCUAGGAAAUCGUCUCCCAAUGCAUUAUUUCUUUCAACUCGUCUCCUGACGGUCCUGUAUGCGUCGGGAUCCUUUCUAGACGCAUUUGGAUAUAUAUGUCAAUGCUUUUAUGUGUCGAAAGAGCCACUAUUUCUUGUAAUGAUAUUUGAUUCUUUGGUUCUUUCUCUUGAAAAAAUAAAUUUAACUAUUAAAUUUUCUGAUAUUCUUGGAUAAUCAAAUUUAGGCUUGAUGAACUUCUUCAAUGAUUGACCUUUAUUGGGUUUGUUGAUCUUUUAGAGAAUCGACCUUCGAACUUAUUGGUCUUUUCUUAAAUGAUCGGUAUUUAGGUUAGAUGAUUAAUUUGGAUUGAUCAUUGGUUUGGUGAUAUGCUUAGAUUUGCCUUACAAUUUUAAGAGAGUUAUAUUUUUUUGAUCUUAAGAGUUUUGAUCAUAUAAAUUUUAGAUUUUAAGAUCUUUAAAGCCUCCAUCUCCAAAAUUUGAGAACUUCAAAGUUUCAAUUUUUAGAGAAAUCUGUGUGCUUUAAUUUAGUCUUUUAGAAUAAUUUAAGAACGUCGAAAUCUUCCCAGCUUUCAAUUUUUCAGAAGGUGAUUAGUCUCAAGAUUGAUAAGAACUUUAAUGUCUUGAGAGCUUCAAAUCUUCAGAGCUUCGACUUUUCAUCGUCAAUUCUAUGGCCCAAAUUUUCAUGGGGCUUGAAUUCGGUCAGGUUCAAGAUACUUUAAUUAGAGAUAACUGUGAAACUCGCAAAAUAUUAAAUAACAAACUGAAGAAUAGCAAAUCCCCAAAAUAUUAAGAUUUAUAGCAAAAUUGUCGAUUGCAUAAUUUUUUUGACUUUUUUUGACUUUUUGCAUAGAAUAACAUUUUGAGAAUAUGAUAUAGUAAUUAUAGCACGUUGUUUUAGAAUUUUGCAAAUAUGACAAAAACUCUCCAUCUUAAAUUUGUUAUUAUUCUUAAACUGUCAUUCAAUAACUUAUUUCUCUUUCUUUUUUUAAUGCCUUACUCAUUAUUUAUUUAUUCUCUCACUUUUUCAAGUCCUAAUUAUUUGUUUAUUCUUAUACUAUAAAAAUUAUUUAUUAUUUAUGUCUUAAUCUUAAUUUUAAAAUUAUAGUACAAUAAUUGCAAUAUGAAAGAUAAUAUAAUGAUUGUUGAUCGAAGUAAUUUAACUUCAUUUGUGGUUCUUUUUUUUUUUUUUACUUUCUUCGAUGUGUAUUUUAAGUUGAAUAUGAUUCCAAAUGAUUUUAUUUUAUUUUUUUACAUCAAUUUUUUUAUUUUUCUUUGUCUCAGUUUUGUAUAUCAAUAUUGUGAUAUACUUGUAUUAUAUGUAGUAGUCAGUUAAUAUACUUAUUACGUGAUUUUCGAUUUUUUAAAUUUUAUGCAGUUUAUUAGAGUAUUAUUAAGUAUAUGAAUGAUGUAACUCGGUGUAUCAUUAUCAAGAAUAUCAAUAAUAUAUUGUUAAAGCAUAUCAGUAAAGUGAAUCAUUAUCGAGUAUAUUAAUCAAGUUUACAAGUGUAUAUCAAAUCUAUAAGUAGGACUUCAAGAAUAUCAAGUGCAUUUAAUCAAUCAAUUGUAUAAGUGAAGAAUACUAAAUGUAUCUGCAGUGUAACAAGUGUAUCAAACAUAUAUUAGUAAUGUUUUAGGUGUGUAUCAAAAGAUAUCGAGUGUAUCAAAGUGAGUAUCAGGUAGAUCAAGUGUAUCAAUCAAAUGUAUCGAGUGUAUCAAGAAGUAUCAAGUGUAUUAAGGGGUGUAUUAGGUGUAUCAAACGUAUAAUAGUAACGAGGGUAUUUAUGACAUUUUACCUCUUGAUAUGUGGGUCGGGCUUCAAUUUUGCCAUUUUCGCAAAUAAUAAAUUGUGUGUCCUAUAGACUUAAUUAUUAUAAUUUAUUUUGUCAUUUUUUUCAAGUACCCCUUAUAUAAAACAAUUCAUUUCUUACACAUACAGUGAAUGAGGCAGAAUAUCACAAGUUCAUGAAUAUAGUGUAUUUGCAAACAACAUUAAAUUUUGGAAAAUCUUAACUAAAUAUGAUAUUUUCGAGUUUGAUAAGAUUACACCAACAUCCCUAAAUAUAUGACGGUAAUUUAUAUCAUAUUUUUGGAUUCUUAAAAUUUAAAUCAAUUAAUUAACAAUUUAUUGAUAUAAUUCAUAAUAGAUAUGUUUAACAAUAAUGUGAAUUCAAAUUUUAGAUAAUGUCACUAAAAUAAUAGCAAAGAUCAAUUCAAUAGUUUUUGAUUCUUUAUAUUUCAUACUAUUUAUCAAAUCUUUAUUAAAUAAUACAUAAUACAUAUUUUUAAGGUGAUUUUUAAAAAUAAAAUAAUGGACAAACUAUUUCAUGCCCAUAGCAAAAUUUUAAUCCAAGACCAAAAUGGAUAACUAAAAUUUUAACCGAAGCCAAAGUAUUAAUGUUUUUUUUUGCUAUAGGAUGUAAAUACUUUCCAUUUUCUUCUAUUUAUGUAAAUUUAUUACAUGAACACAUCUUCAUUUUUGUCGACGAAAAUAUAUAUGUGGCCAAAAAAGUUGUGUAUUGCGUGGGCACAUCAUCGUCUUUGCCAACAAAAAUAUACAAAAAUAUAUAAGUGGACAAAAAUGUGUGUGGUGAAAAGGAAAAUUUUUAAGUUGGCUUUCUGCCGACAUUUACUUUUGUUUAUCACCACGUAUCGUGUGUUGGUAGAUAUUUUAAAUAUGUGCCCUCAUAAUUUAUGUGGCGAAAAAUCCUACAUUUUUAUACAUAUUUAUGGCGACGCUAGACCUAUACAUACGACGACGCAAGACUUAUAACGUAGGCAUAAGUGUUUUUUUUUAAAAAAAAAAAACCUAAUUUUUCCAAAUAUUUUCCUCCUUUUCUUUUCUCUCACGCAGUUCCUCCUUUACGUGAAUGGCUUGCUGCACCCCAAACACCAAGAUUUUCUUUGCUCACGUUGAUUGCCCAUCUUCGAUUUCACUCCUUGUCGUCACUGCUCUUCGCUCAACGGCUCGCUGCACCCCUUGCUUAUCGAUUUGUAUUAACUCAAAUAAGGUCUGAAUUGUAUUAUUGCAUUAAAAUUUCAGUACCUCAUCUGAUACACAAAAGCAAUAAUUCUCCACUGAAUUCUUAUGAAUUCUUAGUAAUUCUUUGGAUGUAUCUUCUUUUUCAUUUUCCUUACUGUAUUCUCUAAAUAAGAAAUUUUAACAUCCUCCCGAAGUUGAUCAAGGCUAAAAGGCUAGAUGCACAAUUGAGGUAUGUGAGGUGCUUAAAGUACUUGAACUAAUCUCGAGGUUUAGAAAAAACUUUUGCAUUAAACUGUAUGUUAGGAUGAUCGUAGCUUACUGUUCAUCAUUCUUUUACUUUAAGACUCUAGGAUGUGCAAAUAAGUGGCUCAAUCUUUGCAACCAUCCACCAAAUUUAGUUGAAUGUUCCAAGGCAUGGUGGUUAUUGUGUCAACCUUCUCCAAAUCAUAGCAAACUCAACUACCUAUCAAUGGAACAAAAAACAUCUAUAAGAAACAAAUAAAUUGUAAAACUUUUAUUUUGAAUGAGAAAAAAAAUAUCUAUUGAAUAUGACAUUUUUAAAUAUAUUAGUAAUUUAGAAACGUCACGUUGAUAACUCUAUUGAACAAAACAUUAAUUAAAUAGUGACUUUUUAACUAGAAUAAGAAACUUUUUUGAUAGACAUUAAUAUUACGCAUGAAUAUCCUUCAACUAUGAUAGCAAAUCAUGCAUAUAUUUCAUAUUUAUUGUAUGCUUGAAUUAUAAUAUGUUGUGGCUAUCAUAUCGCUACAGUAGCCAAUCAUGUAUAUAUUUUACACUUAAUAUAUGUUUGAGUUAAACUGCUACUUUGGACACGUUUUUCGAUAUUUUGUGUUUGAUUAUGAGUUUAGAAGGCACAUUUGAGCAUUUUGAAAGGAUUUUUUUGGACUUAAAAGGUGAUUUUUAGUUUGAUAUUUAAGACAGUUAGUAGGUGAGUUUUUGUUGGAUUUUAAUUUGAAAGUUACAAUUGGGUUUUUGGUUGUUUUGACAUAUAAAAGGCUACACAAACCCAUUUUUGAGUUAAAGUACCACUUAAACAUUUUGGAGGUGUUUUGGGGGUAGGGAAAGGAAAUGAUUAGUCAUUUCUAUGUAUGGGGGGCAAGAAUUAAGGUGGGAAAGGAAUAAAUUAAUUUCCCACUUAAUCCUUCUCUUUCUUCCAUAAAUACAAUCACAUCAAACUUUUCUCUUUUUUCAAAAUAUAGAUAUGUUUUUCUUAAUAAUUAUAUUUUAACAACUAUAAGUAUCUUUUCACUUUUCCAUAACAAUUUUAUAUAUAUAUCCACAAAUACACAUAAUUAUGAAAUUUCUAUUAAAUAAACACUCCAAGAUAUUUAAUUAAAUUUAAAUUCAACAAUACUAAAAAUCUAAAUCCAAUGGUUAAUUAAAUAUUCAACCCUCGAGUAUUUAAUUAUGUUCAUCCUCAUUUGUUUAAAUCGAAUAUUAAUGAUAUGCAAUAUCUUAACAUUGCACUUACAAUAUCAAAUUUAAAAAAUGGAUAUAAUUUAUUUCGCACGUAACGCAUCAAUUAAUUUAUUGGCAGGAAAACUUUCGUAUAAAACGUACACAAUUGACAUUGUAUUUACGAAAACUAAUAGAGAGCAUGUUUUCCAAUAAAAAAUCGAUAAAUUAAAAUUAUGAAUAUUUGUGUAUUGGAUUUACUAUACCAUUUUUUUUUAAAAAAAAUACAAGAGUAUGAAUUAAAAAAAUAAAUAAAUAAUAAUAAUAAUAAACUUUUUUUUUGUCAUAAUCCUUCCUCUAUAAUCCUUCUCACUUAUUUCUUCCCCGUAUCUUUGAAAAUGCAACAAAAAAAGAAAAAAAAAAGAGGAGCAUAAUUUUUAAUGUAUUGGAUUUAUAUAUCAAAUUGAAUAACACGUUAAAGACAAAUGAAAAAAAAAAUACAAUUUAUUUGUGAACUAAAUUUACAAUACAAAUUUCAAAAACAUAUUUCACACAAAGAAAUAAUAAUAAUACAAUUUGUUUUGUGUAUUGGAUUUAAUUUUUAAAAAAAUAAGAAAAAAAACUACUGUACAAAUGAAAAAAAAGAAAAAAAAAAACUUCACUUUUGAAAUUGUAAUGAGUGUACGUUAAAGUAAUAAAAUAUUUAUACAAAAUCACCAAAAAUAAAAAUAAUACAAAUUUUUGGUGUAAUUGGAUUAGGGUACAACUUAACUGAAAUAAUGAAUUUAAAUACAAUUUUUUGUUGUAAAUGUUUUAUGAUACAAACAGACAAAAGGUUAUACAAAUGCAAAAAAUAUUAGCACAUUUUCAUUUUGUAUUGGGUUCACGAAAAAAAAAACAAGAAUUUCAUACCCAUGAAAAAAAUUAGUUUUUUUCGUACAAUUUUUUUUACACAAAUGAAAAAAAAUACAAAUUUUUUUAACAUAAUCUUUAUCCAGAGAAAUAUUAUAAAUAAUCUCUCAUAAUCCUUCCAGUUAUUCCUUCUCCCCAAACAACGAUUAGAAAUAAUCAUUUUCUUUUCAUAAUUCCCCUUUCCUUAUUCAUUUCCCCUCAUUUUCCUUUCCUUCCCCCAAACACACCCAAAAAGCUAAUAUGUUAUGGUAAUUAUUGCUAUAGGGUCAACUUUUUGUUCAUACUAUUUGAAGAUGAAUAAGGAUUGGAUUAAACUAAAAAAUAGAUUUUCAAGUGAUUAUGUUGAUGGAGUUUCUUAAUUUAUGGAAGUGGCUAAGUGUCAUGUAAAUGAUGUAGGAAAAACUAGGUGCACAUGUAAGUAUUGUCAAAAUUCAAUGACACAAACAUUGGAUGGAGUAGAGCAUCAUUUAUUUGCGAAUGGAAUAUCUUCUUUAUAUGAUAAAUGUAUUUAUCAUGGAGAAGCAAUGAACUUUGCUAGAUUUGAACAGAGUACUACUUCGUUAGAAAGUGAUAGAUUAAGUAGAGAGUCUGAUGUUGGCAACAAGGACGAUGAUAUUUUAGAUCUUUUAACUGACUUGCAAGGUUCAAUGAUAGCAAGGGAAGAAAAUUUUGAUGACGGAGAUGUAAGUUUUGAUGAUGAAUUUUCAGAAGAUGUUGAUGACAUGGACACUAGUAACAUUUUUAGGAGUUGAUGAAUGAAACACGUAAACCGUUGUAUCCUGGAUGUACCAACUUUUUCUCAUUAAAUUUUUUGGUGAAGUUAAUGCAAAUCAAGAUUCUGAAUAAUUGGAGCAACAAAUCGUUUGAUAUGCUAUUAGAAUUGUUGAAAGAUGCAUUUUCAAUCGGUACAUUUAUAACUAAAUCAUUUUACGAAGCUAAGAGAAAAUUAUGUGACUUAGGGUUAGGAUAUGAUUUCAUCCAUGCUUGCAAAAUAUGACGGUAUAUUAUUUCGAAAAGAAUUUGCUAAUUGUCAAAGUUGUCCACUAUGCAGUAAAUCUCGAUAUAAACAGAGAGUGAAAAAGGAAAGAAGAUUCCAAAUAAGGUUUUGCGUCACUUUCCACUAAUUCCAAGGAUGAAACUAUUGUUUUUUAAUCAAAAUAUAUCGCUUCUAAGAUGAGAUGGCAUAACGAUAAACAGAGGAUGUUUUACGACGAUAUCUAGCUGAUGAUGUAGAAUGGAAGCACUUCGAUAGAGAAUUUUCUCAAUUUUCCUCAAAGCCAAGAAAUGUUCGUUUAGGCUUAGCUUCACACGAUUUUAAUCCAUUUGGGAAUAUAAGUACUGCAUAUAGUAUGUGGCUAGUGGUGCUUAUACCAUACAAUUGUGGCUAGUGGUGCUUAUACCAUACAAUUUGUCCCUUGGAAGUACAUGAAGGAGUCCAAUUUUUUCAUGUCUUUGUUUGUACCUGGACCCAAAUCUCAUGGGAAAGAGAUUGAUGUAUAUUUGCAGCCCAUAAUUGAUGAGUUGAAAGAGUGGUGGAAUAAUGGUGUGCGAGCGUUUGACUGUACAUAUGAAGAGUAUUUUCCAUUAUAUGCAUGUUUGUUGUAGACCAUCAAUGAUUUUCCUGUAUAUGGUGACUUGUCGGGAUGGAGUACGAAAGAAUAUCAAGCAUUUCCUACUUGUAAAUAAGAUACGUCAUCGUUUGGGAUAAAAGGAAAAAUAUCUUUUAUGGGACACCAACGUUAUCUUUCUUCUAAUAAUAGUUGACGUCGAAGUCGACAAUAUGACAAAAAAACCCGAACGCAGGCCUCCACCAAUUGUAAUGAGGGGAGAUGAGACCUUACAACAAAUAAACUCCAUGAAUUUUCCAGUGCUAAGUAAGCAUUCAUCCAAGAUGAAUAAGAAAUGAAAACAUACUAUUAAUUGGAAUAAGAGAAGUAUAUUCUCUACACUUCCGUAUUAGUCUAAACUUCUUUUGAGACAUAAGUUGGAUGUCAUGUAUAUUGAAAGAAAUGUUUGUGACAACUUGCUUGACACUUUAUUAAAUAUUGAUGGUAAAACAAAGGACACAAUCAAUGCUCGUUUAGAUUUAGGAGACUUGAAUAUAUAAAAAGGAAUUACAUUUGCAAAGGCAAGGAACUAAGCUGAUAAAACCACAUGCUACGUCUACAUUAACCGGCACCGAAAGAAUAGACUUUAUAAGUUCUUAAAAUCAAUUAAAUUUCCUAAUGGAUUUGUCUCAAAUAUAUCACGAUGUGUGAGUGUCAAUGAUGGAAAAUUAUAGGGACUAAAGACUCAUGACUCUCACAUUUUACUCUAAUGACUUAUUCUCAUUGUUGCACGAGCAUACUUACAUAAGGGUGUGUGUACAACUAUCGUUGAGUUAUGUAAUUUUUUUCAUGAUUUGUGUGCGAAGACAAUACAUAUCAGUGACCUGAAUCGUCUGAAAGCCAAUAUUGUGAUCAUACUCUACAAAUUUGAAAGAAUUUUUUCACCUGCGUUUUUUGACGUAAUGAUACAUCUUGCAAUUCAUUUACCGGCUAAGACAAAGAUUGUUGGUCCAAUAAUCUAUAGUUAAAUGUAUCCCAUAGAAAGAAGCUUACGAACAUUAAAACAAUAUGUACGAAACAAAGCUUGUCAUGAAGGUUCCAUAGCAGAAGCAUUUCUUAUGAAUGAAUGUUUGACCUUCUACUCGAUGUAUCUAACAGGAAUAGAGACAAGAUUCAGUAGGAAUUCACGAAAUGAUGACUCAAUGAGCAGAAAACUUGGUUGUGGGGACUUUGAUGUAUUUAAAUAAAAUAUGUGACUAAUGGAGGGGUCAAUUGUGAGGACGCUAUCUGAAGAAGAGAGACGAAUGUGUCAUUGGUAUGUUCUGAACAACUGUUCUCAAAUAGAAUCGUAUCUCAGGUACAUUUUAUACAUUCAUUUACUUGUCAGUUCAUAGUGUAUAUAAGUAAGUCGAAAUUCUUUUUAAUAUUUAAUAUGAUUGAUAAGCAGAGAAAAUUUGAGUUUGAUAAAUACCAAAUGAGAGGAUGGACUAGAUUUAUUUAGAAGGCACCAAUUAAAAUUUCCUAAUUGGUUUAAUGUACAUGUAAGUGUUGUUUUUAGCUUCAAAGUAUGAUGUUUUACUAUUGAGGUAUUAGUAGUUAUUCUAACCCACAUAAUAUUAUGUAGAUGUAUUCAUUACGUGAAAAAGGUGAAGCAUCUGAUGAUCUUUACUCCAUAGUGUUGGGCCUAUUAAUCAAGUUCGCACUUACAGUGGUUGCUUUGUAAAUGGAUUACAUUUUGAUUCAAUAAAGCGUGACAAUCGCCAGACUACUCAGAAUAGUGGAAUCAUGGCAUAUGGAGAAACCAAAGCCGACAAAACGGAUUACUAUGGUCUAUUGCAAGAGGUCUUGGACUUAGAAUACCCUAAGUGUAGACGUGUAUGUCUUUUCAAAUGUAAUUGGUUUGGAACCGAUGUUAAGAAGAACAAAUUUUGUUCUAAUUUAGGCUUUAAAAUAAUUAAUACUUCUCGUUUGGGUACACUGAUGACCCAGACAUAUUAGUUACACAAGUCGUGUAGGUUUUCUACACUGACGACCCAAAACUCCGCAAUAAUUGAAAAUUUGUGCAAAAUGUCCAAAAUAAACAAGUAUGGGAUGUCCCAUAAGUUGAAAAAUUAGAAAAAGAGUUGUUAGAAGCAUCUAGUUCAAUUGGGUUUGAUAAAUCCAUACAUGAUAUCCCAUUUUGUAGAGGCGAUGUUAAACCUACUGUUUUUUAUAAUCAAGAGAUAGAUAAUCAAGAUCAAUCCCCAAUCGAUGACGACUUUAUAAAUGACGAACCUGAACAACUAGAAUCUUUGGAUUCAUAUGGUAAUGAAUAAAGGGUAUAUAUUAUAUGUUUAUCAAAUUUAUUUACGACAUGUUAUUUUAAAGUCUAACCACUAAUAAUUAUUUUUGCAGCAUAAUGGUACAUACAGAUCAAGCACAAUUGGCAUUGACUGAAGUUGAACAAACAAACACUACACCAGUUGAUCCUUCCACUCAUCAAGACGGUAUUAAUAUGAUAUGUAAGUUUAUUUCUUAUACAUUACUGAAAUGAUCUAAAAAUAGUUUUACUUUUAGGAUAUCAAUCACAAACUAAAAAGUGAGGAAAUGAUGUGAGAGGAUACGGUCCAAACAUAGAAUUGGACAAAUUUGUAGAAAAACGUGGAAAGAUCAAGAUAGAGAUUAACAAAGAGGAAGAAAAACCAAUGACGGCAUUUGCCCCUAAAAUUGGGUUAGGCAUUGGUACUGUCGUUCGAAACACUAUUCCAUUGAGUUGAGGGAAUUGGGAGGCGGUACCUAUAGGCGUAAGGAAGCUCGUGAUUGAUCGGUUGGAGGUAUGUUUAUGUUUAAUUUAUGCCUUCUUAUAUUGUUUAAAUGUAAAAGUUGUCCAUUUAUACAUAUAUUAUUAAAUAUGUAGACAAAUUUUGAAUUUGACCCAACUGACAUAAUUGUGAGAAAAUACUUAGAAAAAAAGAUGCAUAAUACUUUUAGAGAUCAAUUUAGAGCAGGUUUGAAUUGUAUGUACUUGAGUUGAAAUAUUUUGUGGCUAUCCUGCGGUGGCAACCAAUCAUACAUACAUGACAUUUUCAUAAGAACUGUCCACGUUUCUCUGUAUCGGUAAAGACGAAUAUUCUUGUAGUGUUUGUUGUUGGACAAGAUUGCAACAACCUCCUAUAUGAUAAUGGUAAAUAUAUAUACAAGAUUUUCAGGUUUGUUAUAUUUUAAAAAAUUUAUUAAAUACUACAUAAUAUAUAUUUGAAUAACAAUUUGAAAUUAAAUUUUAGAUACUCCUCAUAGAAUAAUGCCAAAUAAAAAUACAAGAUUUUCAGCUAUUUUAUAUUUUUAAACAAUUUACUAAAUAAUAUAUAAUAUAUUUUUAAUAACAAUUUGAAUUUGAAUUUUAGAAUUGUAAUUAUGUCUCAAUGGGACUUUUGCAAUUAUUUGAAUCUUCUUCUUUUAUGUUUUAUUUGAGAAAAAAAAAAAAAAAAAAAGAAGAUUGAGAGGGGGGCAACCGAUGCAAGAGACAAACACUGUGUGAGAGAGAAAUUUUUUCUUUUAAACAAGAGAGAAGAAAAGUGCGAUCGACAGAGAGAAAGACGUCGGAGUUUCGACGUUAGUGGCUAUGGGCAUCUGACGGCAUCUGACGUUGGUCAUGAGUUUGCGGCAAGUUCUGACGUUCUGGCGUUUGUUGGAGUCAGAUUUAGCCAACUUUCAUGGAUUUAGCUGCAAGCAGGAUGAUAGAAGGCUCGAGCAGUGUUUAUGGUGAGUUUCAUCGUUCAUGUUUUGUUUUUCAGCCUUGGUUCUUCUUAGGGUUUUCAGUAGGUUAUUCGACAUGUGAGUCUCCGGUCGGAGGAGCCGGCAAGAUGAAAAUUUCACAAUCUUACGUCAGAGGAGCCAACAAGAAGAAAAUCCAAGUAUGAAGAGUUUGAAGAGUUUGAAGGGGACGAGCUGGAAACUCCAAUAGUUUCUGCAACUAUGGAAGUUUGAUGUUGAUAUGUGUUAAUUGUGUGUUGGGAGUAAGAUUUUAAUUAUAGGGUAUUUGUGGUUUGUUUAAUAAUUAUAUUUAGGAUUCAAUUUUUUUUAUUUAGGUAUGGGCAUUUAAGACAUUUGUUCGUGCAAUUAUUUUCUUAUACUUUUUUAUUUUUCUAUUUUAUCAAUUUAAAUAAAGAUUUGUUGUUAGAGAAAUGUGUGAGAAUGGCAAAAUAACAUUGUGGUGUUUGGAAAAUAGCAAACAUAAAAAGUAAUUUGAUUUUUAGCAAAAUUGCAAAAGAUAUAAUUUUUUUUUGAGAAUUUUUCAACCGAUUUUAUCUCUUGAUAGGAUGACUAUCAUUUUGUUAAUUACAAUGUAUUUGUGAACCGUAAAAUAAUAAAACAUAACACAUAAUUACGAUUACGAUGCAUUUGGAUAUCAUUCAAUUUUGUAAUAAUAUUAAAUAAAUAUUUAUUUUAUCUAUUAAUCUCAUUUAACUAAAUUAUAGAUUCAUGUCUUAAAUUUAUAACAGAUUAUCCUAUUACUUAAUUGUAGGUUUUGUUGGAAGAUUAAAAUUUUAAAAUUUAAAAUAAUAUCUUUGGUUUAAAAUUAUGCAUUUUAUAUAAUAACAACUUCAUAUAAAUGGUGUAUUUUUCCUAUAAUUAUGCAUAUAGCAAUUAUACCAUAUUCGACCAUAUUAAUAAUAAUAAAUUGUUAAGCAUUAUUUUAGAGAAUAAAUGGUAACAUAACGAUAAUGCAAUCUUAUUAUAUAAUUAUCAUUAAAUUAGGAACAUUUUCUAUAGAUAUUAUUUACUACCAUUUAAAAAUUGAGUUUAAAUUCUUGCAAAUUCUCCUAAAAUCGUAUUAUUACAUUGAUCUCCCUAAAAUAAUGACAAACAUAGAUUUAACAUUUUUGGAUUAUUUAUAUUCCAAAAUAUUUAUAAAAUUACCCUAUUUAAAUUUUGUAUUUAAAUACCUCCAAAAUACAUAUUGCUCGUAACAAAUUGAAUUUAAAAUUUUAUCUUCCUCAAAAAUUGUGCUAAUUGGUUGAUUUUUAUUUUUAAAAAAUUGUUUUAUUGUGCCAAUGGUAGAAAUAAUUAUUUUCAGACGUGUUUUUAAAUUACGUUAAUAUCUAUGUUUAUUUUCAUCUAGUAAGAGUCUCAAACACACCAUAAUUGUGAUUCACAAUCUUAUAAUUUUAUAGUCAUCUAUUAUACAAACAUAUUUCAAUCAGCAGAUUUGGAAUACACAAAAAAAGAUAAAAAAAUUUGGUCAUCAAGAUGUAGUAUCAUUACCUAUACAAUUUAUUUCAAUAGGUCAAAAAAACGAGAUAUGAUAUUGAAAAUAACAUAAAUUUACUUUAUUUUGUAAAUAACAUUCAAAUUUGAUAAAUCUUAAUUAAACAUGUUAUUUUGUACAAUUUAUUAAAUAAUACAUGAUAUAGUUUUAAUAACAAUUUGAAUUUAAAUUUUAGAUCAUUCCCUAAAAUUAUAUAUAAAUCCAAUAAUUUCACUUUUUUAUAUUUUUAGCCAAUUUUACUUGUAUAGAGGAAAAUUCUUAUCUUAUUGGUAUAGUGUACUUGUGUAGGUUAAAAUGAUGAAAUAUAACUCAGAAUCACGAAUAUAUUGUAUUUGCAAAUCAUUAAGUUGUGUAAAAAUAUUAAAUAAAUAUUUAUUUUCGAAAUGAAUUUGAUUGAAUCAACAUCCCCUAGAUUUAAAGGCUGCAAUUUAUUCUAGAUUUUCUUGUUUGUUGGUUUCAAAUCAAGUAAUUAACAAUUUAUUUAGUUGUGGUUGUUCAAAUUAAAAUUGUAUCUUACCCCUAUAAUUAUGAUGCAUUUAAUGUAUAUAUGAUUAUUCUAAUAAAGUUUUGAUAUUCCUCUAUAAUCAUGAUACUUGAUUGAUUUCCUAAAAUGAUGUCAAACAUAAUUUCAAAAUUUUGGGAUUAUCUUGUUAAUAUUCUUUAUCUAUUCUCCAUAAUUGUUAUUUAAAAAUAGAUUUUAAAUUUUGAUUUGAAACCGUCAAAAUAUUAAAAUUGAUUUAAAAAUUUAUAAAAAUAGUUAUUGUUAACAAUAAUUUGAAUUUAAAAUUUUGUCAUCCCUAAAAUCAUGCUAAGAUAUCUUUAUAUCUCCAAAAUAAUAGCCAACAUAAAUUUAACAGUUAUUUAUAUUCUAUUAUAAAAAAUAAAUAUUUUAAUUUUGGAAGGAAUUAAUUGAGAAGAAAAGAUUUGUUUUAUUUAAAUUGUAAAAGAAAAAAAAAAGAAAGUGAAGAUAUUUAAGGGAAAAUAAUAAUAUAAUAAUAUUACUAUUACUAUUCAUCAUCUUCGUCACUCUCACCAAACCCUGACUGCCGCUGACACCUCCAUCUUCGUUCGCCAUCCCAUCCAUUCUGUUGAUCGAGAACUAAACCGCAAGGAAACAUCUCCUCUGUUGCACGCCACUAGUCGCAUGUUUACUUCAUCCGAAGUCAAGCGUCUUUGUGCCGCUUGUUCAUUCGCAUCGCGCGUCGCACGCUCAGCCGCGUCGAUCUCCUUUGUCUGCAUUCGUUCACUGGUUAUACCAAAACUUCCAGCCACAAAACUUCCAGUCACCGUCAAUCCCCGAAUUUUAGUGACUCUGUUGUUGUGGGGGUUUUGUGACAUACAAUGUAUCUUUUCUAAAAUUCAAGUUGAUAUAUUGUUGCUAUAAUUUAACAAACGAAGAAGAAAAUCCAUUGAAGAAGCUCACUUUUGCGCGAAACGAAAAAGAAUCUAUAAUCGGUUUGAUGAAGAAGAUGGUUGGCAAGAAGAAAUUUUUUUAAUUUGCAGUAAAUGUAUAAAGACUUUGAAGGUUUUGAAGAGGACGAAGCUUAAAGCUCUAAUAUUUUCUGCAAAUGAUCAAAGACUUUGAAGAUUUGGUAGAAUCUACGAAAGUAGAAGGUAAUGAAGUUGGAUUCUUUUCGGCUUUGAAUACCUAAACAUACACAAUUUCAACAAGGAUGUGUUAUUUAAUUACAAGGUAUUUAGGUUUUAGGUAAACAAUUCCACAAUGGACUUAGCGUUUUUGUGAUGUCAGGACGAAUCUUAAAUUAAUGGCCAAAAGUUCUUAUUCAAUCCGAACUACAAGCGAGUAUUAAAGAAAAGAAAUGAAAGCAAGGGCGAGAGAAGAAACGGAGGUGAUGGAGCAUAAAUUAAAACGAUUUUGGUCCAUACACUAAUCACAAAUUACAUUUUAAAUAUUUUUUGUUUUCUUGUUAGGUUUAUCUCUUGCUUUUCUUUUUCUCUUUUCCUUCCUUCAAUUCAAAGGAUUUUUUUCAAAAUAUUUAUAAAUAUAAAAAAAUAGUACUUUUAAUUAGCCAUCGAUGGUGAUAGGCUUAUCUAUGUGACGAUGGACCUAGAUUGCAGUCUAUCUUGAUUUAUUAUUAAUAUAAUUGUGAUAUUUUGAUAUAUUUAGAAAUUUUUUCAUUUAAAAUAUUUUUCUUGUUAUAUUUUGAGUGUGUAUAAAUAGAUUAAAAUUAAAGGGUAAAAAAGGGACAAAAGGACAAAAAGAAGGGUAAAAAAUAAAAAGAAACGUUAGGAAAAAGGGGAAAAGAAAACAUGACUAAAUAAUAAUGAGAAAAAAGAAUGGAAAGAAAAUAAUGCAUUAAAUUAUAAAUUUGGUCGAUGAGCUUUAACAUCCGUGUUUAUCUUGUCCUUAAACUACCAAACUUACAAACUUUAGUUCUCGAUCUUUUAAGUUUUAUCAAAAUUUUCAUAAUCUAUUAAAUAAAAUAAAUUAAGAAUUAAAGUUGGGAUGAAACACAAAAUCAAAAUUCAAAGACCAAAAAUUAAACACAAACCAGCUACGAGUUUAACAACUAGAUUUAUAGGAGAACCAAAACACAUAAAUUAAAAAAUAUGAAUAAUAGAUUCAUAAACUUUCAUCAUAUCCAAAACCCUAAACCUAAAAUGAGGGAACACAAACUAGACAUGACCAAAACUAUUUUUUCAGAAGUACCAAUAAUAGAUUUGAUCACAUGACCAAACUUAGAGCACAUGUUCUUUCUAAAAUAUAUCCAAAGGGUAGCCCUACCUGCGUGAUUUGUUGAAGUAUACUCUCUUGGGGACCUCAAAUAAUUAAAUUACUUUUUCCAUUGUUUUAUCUUUUGUGUGGAUUUUUUUCUAAAAAAAUUUCACGUGAAGAAAGAAGGCCUUAGCUAAGCUCCAAUAAUUCAACUUGACAUUGUACCCUAUGUAGUAAUCCAAGAUUUCAAAUAAAAUGGCACGUGAAAAGUUAGUUUUUUUUUCUUUCCCAACUUGUGAUUAUAUCAUUUUGGAACCUAUCGUUCUUAGCAUUUAGUGCUAGAUGAAGACUCAUUUGCCGUAUAUUUGAAAGGAGAGGUACGUUGACGCUCCUUGUUUCUCUCAUGUUACAAUCCUCUUUUGUUUGAAACCUAUUUUAAUUCAAUCCACAAACACAAUAAUAGAGGAUUGAUAUCAACCUUUCAUUAUGGAAGAUAGAAAUUUUGAAAUGAAUCUAGCAAAAAAACAUAGAAGUCAAGCACGAUGUUGUGGUAGAUAAUGAUAAGCCAAUGAGAGCAUAGAUGGAAAUACACCUAGGAUGGUAACCCAAUUAGUGAGUGUAGUCACCUAUUUCGAAGAUUAGUGUAUUAGAUAAAGAGUCGAGAGAUUAUCAUUUCAAUGGUAAACUCUCUCUUUAAAAACUAUUGUCACACACAAUAUUUUUUUGGUAGCCUUAAAUGAAAUCUCAUCAAUACAUCAACUACUCAUCUUGAGUUUUCACUUUCACCUUUAACUAAUUCGACAGUACAUGAAGCCAAGUAAUAAUACUUGGUCAGAACAAAAACUCAUAAAUUAUAGACGAAAGCAGGCAGGGAAGCAAUUCAAACUUGACUUUAAAGCACAUGUAACCUGUUAUAUGUAAAGUAGUAAUAGCGGCAAAAUUUUAGGGUUUUAGUGUUUUACACAAUAUAGGUUACUCUAAUACCAUGUCAAACAAUGUAAAUUUUCUAUCUUAUUUCACUUAGAAAGAGGGGAUUUCUUAAAUAUGUUUGGAGAAUAUAAUAAAAUAAAUACAAAAAAAUAUUAAAGAAAAAGGAAACAAUCAAUUAAUUCAUGAUUCAUGGUUGUUUCAAGCAUUACACAAUAAACACUUCAAAACACUAAAAUUAUUAGUAAAUACAAAGAGGUUUAUUCGAAACACGUUAAUUAAUUAAUUAACUUGAGAUUAAAAACUAAAUAGUCGACCCACACCUUUCAUGCAAUUGACAAAAAAGAAUAUUCAUCUAAUUUUUUAGUGUCUGAAUUGAUAACUUUUCUUAAAUUGAAGUUUCAUUAACAGAGAGUUCAUUCUUUAUAUAUAAAAACAUACUUAAAAUUGGUUAUAUAAAAUUUUUAUUCAACAUAUAAUAUGUAAGUGAGGAGAUGGAUUGUUUGAAUUCUCUUAUCUAAUUUUAUACUAUUUACUAACAACUAUUAGAAAGUAAAGGAAAUUUAUUUUCAAACCCCACCAUUACCUUUUAUUACCUUAAGAAAGGACAUAAACAUAUAACCCUCAAAAUUAAACCUUUCACAAAUCUUUUCAUCCUGCACACUUCACCAUGGCAAAAAAAAAGAGAAAGAUAUAAGGAAAAACAUAACAAUGAUAAGUUCACACUAACAAAUUAACUCUAAACAACAUUAAUUUUACUUCCCUACACCCUCAACUCUAAACCCUCCAAAACUAUAAUAUUCCCCAAAACACAAUAUGAAUAUAUACCACUUGGCCCAAAACCACCUCCUAGGGUUUUUUAGUGGCUUCUCAUUCUAUGGUGUUUUAGGGGUUACGUACCUUACCUUCCUGAAAUAUUCACGAGGGUUUUUUUUAUUAGGGGUUUCUCUUUCUAGGGUUUUUAGGGUAAUCGGGGAUAGUUCUUAACCAGCGCGGUACUGCCACAAGCCAAAGCCUUCGGCGGAAUCAUUCCCACCAUAUGAACUCCUUCGGCAAACACAACUCCCAUUCCCAUAUGCAAAUGAGGUUCAAUAUGGCAAUGGAACGCCCAAACACCUGGGUUAUCCGCCACAAAUCGAAUCGCCGUCCACCCAUAUGGGAAAAUCACCACUGUGUUCCUCAACGGUGGAUUUUUCAAAUUCAGUUUCUUCUCAUCCUCGGGGGCGUAAAAUUUCCCCUCUCCAUACCCCAAAACCCAAAAAUCAUGGCCAUGCAAAUGCCAAGGGUGAAUCUCACUCAUAUUGGGGUUUAACAUAUUAGCGUUUUGUAGAAUCACAUCUACCGUUUCCCCCAUAUUGAACUUGUAAACGCCGUUGCCCGUUGUCGUUUCAGGGUUCGGCGGUGGGUUGUUGAUGUCGUAGUUCAAUGGGAAUGUUUCUGGUGGUGGAUUUUGGUUGAAGGCAGUGUUUAGCCUCAUUUUCAUGGCGGCGAGGUACGGCGUUGGAGGGAGAGCUAAAGAGACAUUGUUGAUGGCCCAUUUCAUGAACCCGUUUAUUCGAUUUUGGGUGUUGAGGAGGAAGAGUCGGCGGUUGUAUCUCACCGGUGGCUUUGGACUGCCCAUGGCAGCGAAGAUUCUGAAUGUGAAGUUUUUGCUCCGAUCAAAAUCCUCCCAGUGGGGGGUUUCCGGAGGUGGAGAAAUGGGUAAUUUGGAGGCGGAGUUGGGGAGGUAAUUGAGGAGGGUUAGUCCUGGAGGGGUUUUGGGUAGCCGUGCGCGGACGCCGAUGGAUACCCAGUAAUUUUCCAAUGGGUUUUGGUCGGUGGUAAUGAGGACGGAGUAUGACUCGCCGGAAUAAAUGUCGAUGUCGGAAGUGACAAAUGGUUGAACGUAGUUGCCGUCGGCUUCUACCACUAACAGUUCGUGAUUCUGCAGAAGAAGAGGAGAAAAUAAUUAUUAAAAUUAGUUUUAAAUUCAUGGAUAAACAUUAAUGUUGAAAGUUGAAGAUAUUAUUUAGUGAAAAAUUAAAGUUUAAAAAUCUAAAAUUAAAUGGAAAUGAACAAUUUGAAACUUAUAAACUAAAAAGGAGAUUAGAAUUUUUUGUUCAUAAUUAUUCAAGUUUACUUUUGAUUAUUUUUAUUUUGAUUUUCAAUUACUAGUUUGAAGCAUGAAUAUGAAUUAUUAACAUUCUAACAUGCAAUUAUUCUAAAAAGGACAAAACAAAAAUGAAAUUUUGAUCCAUUUCUUUCACCACUGAAAAAGGCUAAGAUUUUGUUUUGUGUAAUUAUUAUGUGCAUAAUUAGAGAGAGAUGGACCUCAUUUUGUUAUACCUUUGACAAGGAAUUAAAUAAAUCUUCAUACUUAACAUACUAUAGAUUUCAUUUAAGUGUAGAAAGAUUUGUAUUUAGUACUCUACUUUUUUAUUAUUUUUCUCCCUUUCCUUUUUUGUUUAUUAUUAUUAUUAUUAUUACUUUCUUUAUAAUUUUCUUUUAAAAAACUAUUCUAUAUCACCCAACUUUUAUAAAUAUUUACUAAUAUAACAAAUUGAUAUCGAUCUAUCAUCUAACUUAGUCUAUCAUAGUCCAUUUUCCAUAAUAGAUAAAAUAUGAAUUUUGCUAUAUUUUGUAAAUAUUUUGAUUUAUUUUAUUAUCAUCUAAAUUGAAUUUUAAAAUAAUAUUUUAUUAUUUUUUUAAUAGUUUUUGUACCCUAAAUUUAAUAAUAUAUUAUAAAAUCUUGUUUAGAAUUUUGUUUCCUAAAGUAUAAAUGUAGAUCCCCACCACAGUACAUCUAGAUCUCAAACAUUUAUGUGGUAACCUUCAACUUUAACAAUUAUUCCAUAAAACAUCUUCCCCAUUAUUAAAAUAAAUGAUAAAAAAAAUGAGGCAAUAGUUUAGAUAUAAAAUCAAAAGAUGGGAUAAGAUCACAUAUUAUUUUAAUCAAAUUAUACAAAUUUAAUCAUAGUAGUUGGGAUAAUUUUAGGAGUUAGUUCCAUAGUUUAUAAAUUACAUAUAUUAUUCACAACUAUUAGCAUUUAUUUCAUCUAGAAAGAAGCAUUAAAACUAUUUAUAAUGUAAAAUCACCUUGGUACCUCAAGGGUCACAUCAAUAAAUAAGAAUAAGAUAUAGUAAAUAAUAUCACUUAUGCUUUACAAUUUCUUACAUAUUUGUUACUUCUCAAGUGGGUUUAUAUAUGUGUGUGUAUAUAUAUAUAUAACUAAAUAAAAGUAUGAUUAAAAUUCUAUAUUAAUAAAAGUACAUAUAUAGAUAUUUUAAGUUUAAGAGUAACAAUCAACUCUCAAGUAAUAUUUUUAAAACAAAGUGAAGCAUUUAAGUGUUAUAUAUAUAAUUGGAUUAGAAAAAGAAAAGAUAAAAAGUAAUAUGAAUAGGACAAGAAAGAUGGGAGCAAAACAUGUGGGAUACCUAAGAGAAGAGUUGGUCAAUGGGAAUCACAUCAUAUUAUCAAUACCAAUAUGUCCAAAAUGUCAGAAAUGUUAGAUUAGGUUAUCUAUUGUUUGUACUCUCCCAAACACUGCUACAUGUGUUUAAAAGUAAAUUUAAAUAUUAUCUCUUAAAUUGCUAUUUUUAAAUACAAUGAAAUAUUAUUAUAUUAUAAAAUUUUGUUAUAUUUAUAAAUAUUUAUGUAAAAAUUUAUAUAUUAAAGGUGGACGUGGAUUAAAAUAGAAGAGAUUUAAUGUAAAGUUUAAAUAUCAAAACGAAUAUUUUAAAGUAUAAUGUGAUAUAUUAUACUCCAGAAUUCAAACCCUAAUAUUCUUAUAGUCAAUUUUGAAAGGAGGGUAAAGUUGAUAAAAUGGCUUUUGAUUGUUUGGUAGCUAUUAUUCUCACUAGUGAAAGAGAAGUUUGUGUGUUUUGGUUAGUUUCCUCUCUCUCUCACACACACACAUAUAAUAUAUAUUUGCUUUCACUAACUACUCCCACUUUUAGGACUUUAUGAGUCAAAACCUUUGAAAUUAUUGGAAGUAAUUUUCAAACAAAAAGCAACUUUCAUACUUCUAACACCUUUUUAACAUAUGGUUUGAUAAAGCUUAAUUAUUUCUUUUGUACAAUUUGUCAUUGGAUGGAGUUACUUUAUCAUGUUUCUUUUAGAUUCAUUCGUCGUGAUUGAAAUUGAACUACUUAUUAAUUUACUCGUUGAGGCUAUUUGAGUGAUUUUUGGAUGUUUAAUUGUUUAAAUUUGAUGAUUUUCGACUGUAAUAUCGAUUUAGAAAGUUUAUUUGGUCAUUACUAAAGGUUAAAUAUCUUUGAAAACUGCUACAAUUAUUUAAAAUUGAAAGAUUAAAUCAUAGAAAAUACCUCAAAAUUGUCAUUUGUUUAAAAAAAAUUAUACCUUCAAAAGUUUAAUACAUACUAAACGUGGAUGGAAUGAAGGUGCAUCGAACUAUACACCAAAACACACAUCCAAUGCCAAAAGUGAAAAUAUUUCAAAAUUACUACGAAAUAUUUACGAAGGGUUAGAGGUAACACUUGAAGGUUUCAAUAUUACUUCUAACUUUCAUAAAUAUUUUAAAAUUUCCUUCGUGACAUGUUAAUGAUGUGACAGUGACCCGUUUUAUUACAUGAUUUCAAGUUUAAUUUUAUGUAUAAGUUAAUACAAUCACAAUAGUUUUGAAAAGACUAGAUACCUAACUUCAAUAUAAGAUAAUUUUGAGACAUUCAUGCUAACAAUUUUGUUACUAAUUUUUUAAUGUAUUUAGUCUUUAUGUUUUAAUCCUUUACCGUUCGAUAAAAAUUUCAUUAAAUAUAUUCAAUCUAAUUUAAAGAUUUUAUCGAAUCAUAAAAACUAAAUUCUACUUUUUUUACGUGAUACGACUAAAUUUGUGACUUAAACCAAAAUGAAAGAUAAAAAGAAGCAAGACUUACUCCAAUGGCAAAGUUGAGGGAAGCCAAGGCAGUGGUACUAGCAAUUCUUAUCCGAUAAGUUUUCUUGGGUUGAACAUGUAGGAUAAAUGGUGCACAUUUUUCUUUUCCACUCAACUCACAUUGCUUCAAACCUUGGUUGUAUUUGGCUGCUAUUGAACAGUCAAAUUGCCCUUUCCCAUUUAUCAAUAUGCUCUGAAAAAUAGUAAAAACACACAAAUAUACGAAGUUACAAUAUUAUUCUUGAACAAAUGUGAAGUAUAUAUAUAUAUAUGCAGAAUUUUAGAUGGAAAUUAAGACUGGAGAUGAAAUGUAUGGUGUUGGCAUGACAAAAUUUUACUUUAUCUUAUAUUCUCCCUAAAUGAAUUUUCAAAAUUUCGUAUUUUGUUUGUGUUAUAUAAAUUGAAUAUAUUUCAAACAAGGGAGGAUUGAUUUUGAAAGUGGGAGAAUAUAUAUAUUUUCUCCAAAUAUUUUUUUCUUUUGUUAGGAGCUAUGGCUUAACUUAGUACAUGUAUAUAUAUAUGUGUGUGAGAAAAGAUAUACAUGUGUUGUUUUAUCCUUGUAGUUUGAACAUGGUGUUCUUUUAAUUAGAUUAUACAUUAGAAAAUUAUUGAAAAAAUAUUACAUUAUAUUGAUAGAUGUUGAUAAAAUUCUAUCAAAUUCUAUUUGUGCAUUGAAAUUGUGAUCAAAUUUAAAAAAAUUUAUUUUUAUAAUGUAUUGGUUAAUUUUGUUUUUUAAAAAUGUUCGAUAUAUAUACUUAUCUUUUAUACCUAAACAAAGAAUAUUUUAAUUUAUUAAGCUUUCUUUUUAAACAGUGGAUUAUUAUAAGAAAAAGAAAGAAAAGAAAAGAAAUGGUCAUUGAAUUAGUUAAUAAUUUAAAUUAAGGAAAUUGAUUUAAGGGUAAGAAGGACAAAUUAUAUACCCACCAACCUCUCAAGUCUAUUCAAUCUACUAACUUUUCUUUUUCAAUUUUCAAAAUGCUUUAUUUAACAAAAAUAUAUUUUUUUUAACAAAUGAAAGCAGAUUCUUGAAAAAAAAAAUAGAAUGAAACUACUUACGAAAUAUAAAUAAUUUCGUCACCUAUUCAACGUUAUUCACAAGUUUGUAUGCAAAAAUAUAAAAUAAACAAAAUUCAGAAUAUGUACUUACUUACAAGUUUAAAUAAUCACUGACAUACAAAACCUAAAAAGUUAUGAACACUUAUUUUAUAUUUAUAACAAUUGAAGUCAAUUAUUUAUCUUGUUAUCAAACAAAUAUAAACCAAUCAUACAUUGAAAUUUUCAAGUCAAACAGUACAAGAGAUGAAGAAAAAAAUGAUCACACACACACACACUUCAAGAAGAGGAAUGGAAAAGGACAGAGGAAAAAGAAUAAUUGGUGGAAUAGUGGUUUUGGUUGUGUAAAGCAAAUUUCAGCGAUGCAUUUUUUCUCAACUUUUUCUCAUGUGUAAUAAAAUAGGAAAGAAAACAAUUAACUUUAAAAGUGGUUUGUUGAUCAUCGUCAUUUAAACAAUAAUAUCCAAAUCUCAACUUUACAUAAUGAAUAACACUUCUUGAUUUUGAAAAAAAAAAAACAAUUAAUUUUUACGCUUAAUUAUGUUAAAAACUUUGUGUUGAAAAUGUGUUUUAAAGUUAUAAAUAUGUUUAAUUAUGUGUUAAAAGUACAUCUUUAAUUUAAAGUUCUACUCGUUACAUCAAUCUCCAUCUUUUUUAAAUUAGUAAGUAGGGAUCUUUUUGAAAUACAAAAGAACAAAAAUUAAACUUUUCUAACCAGUUAGUGAAAAGAAAUUAAACUUUUCAAAAUUAGAGGCAUGUUUCAAAAGCUAAUGAGUCUUCUUUUUUUUUCCUAAUUUAACUAAAUACUAAUAAAUGAUUGUCAAUUCAUAGUUGAUAAAGUAGAGAUGGACCAAUUGACACUACUUUAUUCAUACAUAUUGUCAAAAAGAACUAAAAAAAGAAUACUUAGUUGGUAAAGCACUAAUUACCUGAGGCUCACCAAUCCAACGCAUUGGUUUGGAGCUGAGACCAACUUCUUGCUUGUGAACACUCUGAUGCCACCAAUCACUAAGCAAUAAGUUGAUCUCUUCGUCAUAAUGGAAUGGCUCAGAUCUUCCUUCUGGUGGAUCCACUAUCAAAGAUCCAUACAACCCAGCCGAUCUUUGCAUCCCUAAAUGGCCAUGAUAGAAAUAUGUCCCAGCCUACAGUAAAAUAUGAAUAAAUAUUAUAAAACAACUUGCAAUAUUUCCUAUGGACUCAAUACGUUUUAAACCCUUCUUACCUUAUCUACCACAAACCGGUAAGUGAAGGUCUCACCCGGGUUAAUGGCACACUGCGAGAUGGAAGCAGUGCCAUCAGCCCAAGGAGUACCUCGUUGUAGGAUUCCAUGCCAAUGAAUAACAACACCUUCAGUGUGGAGCUUGUUAGUUAGCUCCACAACGACGAUGUCGCCAGCGUUGGCUCUAAUCGUCGGUCCAGGGAACUCGCCGUUGAUUCCCAUAACAAUGUUUUCAACACAAUCUGGCGACCAAAACAUGUACUCAACAUCCCAUUUGUAGUGUUUUAUUUUGGGAAAACCUGCCUCAGAGAGAGUUAUUCCAAAUCCAAAAAUGAUUGACAAAACAAGGAAGGAUAGAAAAGGCUUGGGGAAGAAAGGCUUAUCUGCAACUUUUGCCAUUUCGAAGGGUUGAGGAGAUGAAAGGGAAGAAUAAUGAUGCAAUGAGGAAAAAGGAAGAAAGGAAAAAAGUGGGAAGUUUGUGUGUAAGAUGCCACUAGAGUUUGCAAUUUGCCUCCUUUUUAUAAUGAAAUUUUGAGAUAUUUUGUUUACCCACUCCCUCUCUUUCGUUAAGUCAAGUGGUUGAUUUUAAUUCUAAUUUUCAUUUUUAUUUUCAUUUGUUGUGUGUGUGUAUAAUAUAUAUAUAUAUAAAUAUAUAUAAUUAAUUUGUGUGUUUAUACUUUUUUCUUUAAAAAAUUACUACAAAAGAAAUGGAAACUGUCUCUCAAUCAAUCUCAGACCUAUAUGAAAUGAGAGACAUCUAUGGAAAGAGAUUAAAUUCAAAUGUAGGACCCUAUAAAUGUUGAUCUAUAAUAAUUAAAUUAUAUAUAUAUAUAUAUUAGGUUUGCUAUAUAUAUACACACACUAUGAAAGAUUCCAUUUAUCUUUUAGGUUGUUUGUUUUUUGGAUCUAGAUAAUAAUCAAAGAGCUAGUUGUUUCAAUGUUUGGAUGUAUUUAUUUGACUAAGUUAUAAAGUAAUGCUUGAAAAUAUCAAUAUUAUUAGUUAUGUUUGCUUUGUAAAAUUUGUGUGCAAGAAAUAUGUGUGUUGAGAAUUAUGUUAUAUACCAAGAUUGUUCAAACAAAUUUUAGGCAACUUAAAUUAACAAUAGUUCGAUACAUUGUUAUGGAUACUUUUUGGGUUAAAGUAUAAAAUCGAUAUGAUGAUAAAUAAGAGAAAGUCAUCGGGUGAUCAAGAAAGCAACAAUAAAUAGGGGCUCGCUAUCCGGCCAAGAUAAUAAAAUUGGCUUAAAGAAAAGAACUAAUUUGUCCCGAUUGGUUUGCUUCGACCAAGGCUGAACCUACACAAAACAUAUAUCGUUACAUCCCAUGCAUGAUGUGAGCUCACACACGAGCCUUAAGAAGAGGAUUGACUUGACCUAAAACCACUUCGAUCGACUCUACUUUGUCCUUUGUGAAGGCUUAACUCACUAAGUCAAACCUAUUUUAAUGUUCUAGAACAAAUUAAAAGAGAAUAUUUAGAAGCUUAGGAAAACACUCUUCCUAAUUAAGGAGAGGAGAAUCCAAUCACCCGCUUUAUAAAUAAGAUGGUAAAAAGACAUAAAAUGUUAGUCGUUCUCUCUCCAGUAACAUCAUACUAUAAUAAAAUCUUUAGAUCAUUUUCCUUGUUUUAAGUAACAAAGUGUGUGACGCCCUAUAUCAUACCAGUGUGUCGUUCUUGCUAAUUAACUCGUAGUUGAUCUUCUUCACCAAAAUAUAUAUUUAUCAUAGUUAUCGCUUUGAGGUCAGAUCAUUUUACCUGCUCAAAUUUUAGAAAAUUAUUUAAAUUCAUUUAACAUGUUUUCUUCGUGGUAAAUUUAUUUAUUCAAUAUUUUAAUAUUUUAAUUUUAUAUCAAUUAGGUAUACACUAACUUUAUUGGUUGUUAAAUUUUAUUUAUUCAACUUUACUUGAUGGUGAUGGUUUUGUAGGCCUUCGGGCAUUUUGGUUCUUUAAUCAAUGAAGUUCUUUUGAAUAUACAAUAUAUGUAUGUUGUAUAUAUAUGAUUUAUUAAAUUGUAAUCAUUUUCAAGAAAAGACAAUUAAUAUUUAAUUAUGAUAGUUUUAAUAGAUCACGUUUAUUUGAUUGCAAGAUUAUAAUUUUUUGUGUGAUUUUUUAGUACAAAACAUUGACUUACUCAAUUAUCCAUCUCUGAGUCGGUAACUAAUCUAUUUUUAUCUCAAUUGAACUAUAUUGAGUUGAAUAUAUAUAUUUAAUAAUUUAAAUUUUAAAAGUAAAAGUGGAUAAUUAUAUCAAAUAAGAAUAUGAACAGUUGGACACUUAUGAAAUCUAGUACGUUCAUGUUUACAAACUCACUUCAAUUCUUUGAAGAAAAAAAACAAAAUACAUGUUUAAUAUGUUAAGGCUAAACUAUGAGUUUUGAUCCCUAUAAUUUGAAUAAUAAGGUUAAAGUUUUAGUUCAUAAAAUCAAGAGUAAUUUAUUAUCAUCUAACAUAUUGAGGGGAUAACCACGACUACUUUACUAUGUUGAAAUUAUUAAAAUGUUCCCAAUUUCUAAAUUAUGUUAUUAAAUACACAUUGGAAACAUUUCAUUCAAAUUUUUUUAUUUAAAUUUUGUGUUUUCAAAUUUCUAUUUUCAAACUGUCUUUAACCUACAUAUUCAUUUAAUAGAUAUUUUAGAUUUUUUCCAAACAAACAACUUCUUUAUUUAUAUGCUUUGUUCUGUGUUUGUGUUUGCAAGUUAAGUUAACGAUUUGUUGUAUUUAACAACAUUCAAUGAGUCAAAAACUAUAUCUAACUUAAUUAACGAAAAGUAUAUAUCACUUCGAUAAAAAAGUGAAAUUUCAUAUCCUUUUCUUUUCAAAAAUCAAGCAGGGUAGGUCAUAUCAACACGCAUUUUUUUAAAAUAUUGUUGUUUCAAAAAGAAAAUAGUAAAAUAUGGUUGUUGGUAAGAUAUACUUUAUAAAAGGAAUAAAAUAACUGAAAUUAUGAACUAAAACAAAUGUAAGGAUUGGAGUGGGGAAAUGGUGAUGUUAUAUAAAAUAUAGACAAGUUGAGACAAAAGUAAGGAUAAGAAAAAGUGCAUCAAACUUUUUAAUUUUCAAAAAUCAUUCUAUUUUUCUUUUUAUAAUAUAUAUAUAUAUUAUAAAGUUCUAAUAUUUAAUAAGGUAAAUCCAUGUAUAUAAUCUUGCUAUUUAUUUUUAAACUCUCUAACCACCCAUUAUCGAUUGAUGGAUAUAAAAUUUUGAAUAUACAAGAAUUGAAAUAUUUAAAAUCCUAAAAAUGUUCAUUUUUGAAAAUUGGUGAAAUAUAAAAAGUAAAUGUUUGUGUUUAUUUUAUUAGUUUUUGUUUACAAUAAUUCUUCUAAAUUAAAGGUAAUUGUUUUUAUUAUAAGAUUGAUCAAAGUUAUGUUUAUAAAUAUAGGAAUAUUUUCAUUAGCUCUCUUAUC